This 89182-nucleotide long non-coding RNA is filed under the name Triticum aestivum (bread wheat). RNAcentral describes it as "long non-coding RNA (TAES_LNC011497)". The record is from RNAcentral. Lineage: Eukaryota; Viridiplantae; Streptophyta; Magnoliopsida; Poales; Poaceae.
UCCGGUCCACUGGGUGCGUGAUUUUGUCACGCGAUCGACGCCGUUUCUUCGGCCUGAAACUCGGAAUGCUGAAUUUACUUUGCUUUGACGCCGUUGCCUGCCUAGAGGCCUAAGGUUUUGGCAAUGCCUAGAAUAAAGGCGCACAAGAACAGACUUAGGAUCAAAUCGACCCAGUUGUGUUGCCAUGGAAAAAGAUUUUGAUCCAUCAUUAGCCAUUUGUCUGAAUAAUUCUGAACUUGCUAUGUUUCUGAAUGGCUUCUCCAACUGUAACUGAUCAUGGUUUUAAAUUCUUGAUGAUGACAUCGCACGGCCGUAGCGGUGGCCCAUGGCACGGUGCCAGCCAUUGCAAGAGGACCGGCAAUGGCUGGGGCAGAGAUCCAGUGACCACGGCGUAACAUGGCCGGGCACUGCGCAUUGUCACCGUAGCGCCGGGUACUGUUCAUGAACUGUCGUGGGUACCGUUACCGUUCCUGUCGAAUCUGUCCGUUGAUUUUAGAUCGGACGAGGGGGGCAUGUCACCAUUACUGUCCCUAAAGCCUAAGGCAGUAGGUCUAAAGACAUGAGCACAUGAGACUGGCAGGUACGGCCAGUCAAGACUGCAGGCAUCAGGUGAAAAAUGAACUGCAUUUCCGAAAAAAAAGAACAUACACAUAAUUAAGCAUCUUGGUAUCAUCUUUUCACGGACUUCUAUAUAUUCCAUAAUUAUACACCAACCAUUUAUUUGGACUCUGAUAGCGUACAAUAAUACUGCAAGUACAUUUCCUUUCUCUGUCUACCAUUUUUCUGCCUUGAGAAGGUAUGCACGUACCAGUAUGUAUGGAUUUUCAGUUGCAGAUAGUGUGACUUGCACUGCUGCGCUUCUGACCUGGAUCGGCAGCUAGGCAUCGCCAUGUCCCUCCGGUGCUCUGCUGCCCAGGACACGGCAGCGGUACUCUCCGAGCGCCCAGAUAGGGAAGAUGUUCCUGUACUGGGAGUAGGUGAUGGCGCAGUUUCUGGCGAAGAUGCCGAUGAUCUCCUGUGGCACAAAAUUCCAGCAGUGAUGAACAAACAAACGCAGACAGAACAGCAACUAAAUGCCGGAUUGCCCGUUAAUCGGUGUCUGGAAUCUAAGCAGCAAGCGGUUUUGACAGUGAUUUUCAUGAGAGUGCCCUUGGAAGAAAGUGUUGCUGCUCGGUUCGCGGAAUACUUACUUGCUGAGGGAACUCGCCAUCCCCUAGCUGUAGGUUGAUCAAGACCUUCGCUGCCCGGUGCAGAGGCCCUGGGUCUCUCUCGGCCUGCUCCAACGGGAAUUGAAACGCAGAUACGAAUGAGCACGGCGAAUACCUCAAUGAACAAUGUUAAAUCAAGGAGAAAAAAGGGUAAAACAAAACACAAAGAACCUGCCCAGCAUCAAUUAGGGCCAGCAUGGCCCAACUGGUGUUGACUACAUGGGGGCGCCUUCCUUCAAGUUCGGUGUAAACCUAUUUGCAGAAAUUAAAAAAAAAUAUCCAGAUCAGAGAAGUUCUCUUUUGCAGAAAAAAUCAAAACAAUACAUGUUGGUUCACUACUGGUUUGAUUGAUCUAUGGAAGCAUAACUUUUUUUUUGCUGCACUGUAUGUAAUAUAUGUGCCAUGUUAAAAUGGAGGAAUUGGCAAACCCUUUGGACGAGCAGCACGAUGCUUUUGAAUGCAUAAAAUCAAAUUAUAAUUGUAUGGGAAUGAAUGAUUAAUUUUAUCUCAAGUUAGUGUUCUUCGUGUAAAUUCUUAUACACCAAGACCCGCAUAUGAUAUUUUCCUUUUGGAAAAUAGAUGCAUCAUGUAUAGAGAUACUAUUGCUUGUAAAUAGAUCUCGACAUCACAGCUAAGUCUGAGCUAACAGUAAAUCAGGGGUUCAUACUUCUGAUCAAUCGUGGACUGAUCUGUUUCCGGUUGCACCGCUGCAUACGGAUAUCCAUCAACAGGCAUUACCUAGGAGCUAGGAAGAAAUGAAUGUACCUUAUCCCUGCAUGACAAAUAGCUUUCUCCCCAGCCACCAGAAGGAACCUCUUUCGACAACAAGAAGUCGCAGGCCUUCCUGAUAGCAGGACAGUUCUUGAAUGUCCUUCCAGCAGCAACUAACCCUCUCACUGCAGACCACGUCCCAUGGGUGAAACAAAUACCCCAGGAGCCGUACCUGUUGCGAAUAGAGAGAGCAAUGAACACCAAUAGCAGCAGUUUCUUCUGUUUUUCAGUGGGGACACCAAAAGCACGGAAAGCUGCGUGUGUAUCGGACAUAUUCUUUUAUUCCGAAAUGGAGUUUUUGAACACUAACCAUGAGCCGUCACUCCUUUGAAUACUCAGGAUGAAGUUAUCGCCUUUAUGGAUGCAUUUGUCAAUCUCCUCCCUUCGAUGCUCAGGGUAGUGCUUUCUGAAUGCAGCCAGGGCCUGGAUCACUGCCGAAGUACAUUCAACAACACUGCCAGUCGAGUUUAAUUACAUUUCAGUUCAGUUUCUCUUAAAAAUAACAAAUCAGCAUAGGGUUGUCACAUCUUACGGAUGAUCAAUCAUUAUGUCCUCAAAGAUCUCAGAAGGAUUGAGAAACUGAACAAUUGGAGAAACAUGUCAAGUUGUAAAAACUAUUUACAAAAGCUAAAUAUGUCGAGUCCCUCAUUACAGUUGUAACUCAAAGAAAUUCACCACUCACCUCCAGCCAAGCAUAAGAUCUGGUGAGUUCAUAUGAUGCAAAGCCACCAUUUCCAUUCUGUAAAAAACAAUCUAGCUGACAUUAAUUAGUUCGAGAAAAUUUAACCUAACACAUAUGCAAAAAAAAAUCAUAGAAUUUAUAAGAGCAUAAGAGAACUAUUGACUCCUAUGAGUAGCUUUUAGACGUUUGAAAAGGGAUAUGCAUACCAUCCAAGAAAGCAGACAAUUGACAGCAUCAUAAAGUCUAUUGGCUUCUAUUGAUACCCCAACCAUUUUCGGAGAAAUCUUUGACAACAACAAUGAGGCCUGAUGAAGAAAGAAGGAAUUGCAACAAUUGGACAGUUCAACAACAAUUCAAACGAAGACCACAACACCACAAAAGAAUAUACUGCAACUUGAGAGUUAUUAUGGUUAUUAUAUGCAUUAAAGAAAGUCCCUAUUUCCAAGGACCUGGAAGAAAAAAUGCUAAAACUUAAAAAAAGCAUAUCCUUCUAGGUAAGAAAAACCAUUCAACUGUUAACUACAUUCCAAAAUAAAUGUCAUUUUGGACAGCGACAAUGUCUCCGACACACGCCUUUGACCGUAUCUUUUUUAGUCAUGUUAGUAAAUAAUGGAUGAGAACAUAACAUUCUGGAAUUACUCUGUUAAUAUUAUUUUCAAGUGAAAAAAAAUCAAAUACAUAUGAAAGUUAGUGGUCAAAGUUCUAAAAUUUUGUCUGCAUAGGCUAAUGGGCGAUAUCAAUUUUGGAAUGGUGGCGAUACCUUUAAUCCUACUGCAGUGCAAUCUGAUACAGGCCACGCAUGAUCGGUGGUAGAAAAGGUCCAUGCACCUUUAGAUAUAUGACGAUACCAGUCACUCAAAUCUCCAUGGCAGUCAUGAAGAACCUUUCGCAGAACAAAUAACAGAAACGGAGUCAAACGAUGACCUAGUCUGGCCAGGAAAUUAAGCAUAAAAAGUUUUACCUGUGAAUUUUUUAUGUAGUCAUGGGCUAGUUUAAGAGUAGGACAGAACUCUUCUGUGAGUUCCGUAGCCAGUAUAGCUUCAACUGUGAAAGCUGUGUCCCAAAGUUGGCUCCCAUUAUAACCCUACGGUGACAGGACCAUUUCACUGGUAUUAGCAUAGCAAGCCAAAAGAAAAGAUUCACUAUAUCUUAGUAUCUCUCCAGAUUCCAGAGUCGUGUUACAUAUAUUUGAAGACGUUGUGCCUGGACCAAAUUAUUAAAUGACAAAAAUAGACACCGUGCUAACUGAAAAUGUAAAGGAACUCUGCAGUGCUAUUUAACUAAGUUAAGCGCACAUGUGAAGCUAUGGGGUCAAUAACAACAUAAAGAAUAACCUGCAUCUUCAUGCCAUCUUCAGCAACCCACAAGUAAUCAUAGAUCCUUGGAAUAUGAAGUUUGAAUUCCUCUGAGUUAGGAUCUUCUAUCCAGCAACAAAGCAUGUUCAGUACCUGCACAUAUUUUUUUCAUUUUUCACAAUAAUCAACUGAAAACCGGAAUGCCAAAAGAAAAAAGGAACAAAAAUAAAUAACCACAUGCUUUUUUUAGAAACCGGCAUGAUUUUAAAUAUAUACCUUCCCUACAGCACCACUGCAAACAUAUUGGGUGUUCUCAUCUUCGUAAUGAAUAUGUUGCAUGGCAUUUUUCAAAGCUUUCUCCCUCAAUUUGCUUCCAGGCCAAUGUGACAGAACUGGUUCAACAAAUUUGUGAAGAGUGGUCCAUAAGAUAUCUUGUCCCAGUGGAUGAGGACAGUACAGAUCCUCCUACAGUAAGUUAUAAUAAAAAUCUGUCAAGCAACAUUUUAUAAUUAUAUUCUGCAUGGGGAUCUCUACCUAAAGUAACAAAUAAAAAUGUGUGAUACUGACACAGGAGCCAUGUCAGUGUACAAAUCAAAAACCGUGCAGAGCAGAAACUUCUAAAUGGCAUAAUAACAUGAAGUUACUUUGUGUUGUUACUGGUUUGGCACAUGCACGAUGAAGCAAAUUCCAACAAACCUUAGCACAUUGGUUGCGAGCCUUGUCCCAAUCUAUCUCAUCAUAGGGUACUUUAUAGAGCUCCUUCCGUAAGUUCACUACAGUUGGUGUAAUUGGGCCGACAAACCUCUUUCCAUAUAUAUAAGACAUGGGAAAGUAUACCAUUCGGCAAUGGGACCACAUGCGCCCUGUGUGCGGCACAGAAUAUUUUAGCAAAGAUAAUAAGGUAAGAAAUCAUGAUAAUGUAUACUCCCUCCGUCCCAAAAUAAAUGUCUUUAAUUUAGUACAACUUUAGAUUAUGAUAAUAUAUACUCCCUCCGUCCCAAAAUAAGUGUCUUUGAUUUAGUACAACUUUAUUUUGGGACGGAGGGAGUACUAAUAAAUGUGAAUACAUCAAACAGAGAAGGGUAUAAUAAAAUUAUUGCCUCCUGACAAAGUUUGUGAUGAUAGAAAAUGAUUUUUGUUCUGCUGCAAAAAGGAAAAAUGGUCUUGUUGCCAAUCUGUCAAAUAAACUUUCCCAGGGUCAGCUGCAUGAGAACCAUACUUGCAGUAUAUUCUACUGAUCAUCUGCACUAACAGUCAAACAAGCAUUCCAUGGAGUUUAUAUGAUAAAUUUUGCUAGUGUUGAGUUAUUAGUCAUUAUGAUAAAAUUUCUAGAUAACUAAAUACAAGCCAAAAGAGAAAGCGAAAAGGUAUUUUAAGGGGAAACAAACCUGGAUGAAAUGGGAGGCAGUAUGGUAGUAACCAUAGUUCUGGAAGCAAUGGAUUGUUACCAGACCAGUCAAAUACACCAAGAACCUUAAGAAAGUAGAGAUAUCAGAAGACCUCUCUGGGUUUGAAACAAGUACACUUGUAACAAGACCAAAGCAGAUAACAGAAAAGAAAACAAUGUAUAACCUCCGUACCGAAAGCCAAAACUUUCCCCAUGAUGUUGUAAAGGUUGCUCCUCCAUGAUCCAAAAUCCAAUUCUGAGCUAACUGAAUGGCUCCAUCUUCACUAUCUGAUCCUUCUCCAAGUAAUCUCAAGGUAACAUAGUUCAAGACAGAACCGAACAUGGUGCUUGGGCCCUCAAUGUGCAAUCCCCAGCCUCCAUCUUUGUUCUGCACUUAAAUUCACGGAAAUUUGUCCCUUUCUUUGAAAAGCAUAAACAAAACUAGUAUUGGCAUAUACAUUAGGGUAGUAGUGAGAUGUAAUGUGGACAGAAGGAAUGGCAUGAUACACACAGCAUGUGGAUUGCAAAGCCAGAUUUUGUUUGCGUAAAAAUAUCAUUGUUAAGAACGUUUUGUUUAGAUGAAUAUUUCCUUGCCUGAUGAUUGUAGAGAUACCGGCGUAUCUCCUUUUGAUGCUCUGACGAUAAGACAGUAUUUAGAGCACCAGUUGAAUGCAGUGCUAUUACCUGAAUAAAAAAAAAGGUGAGGAAACCAAAUGGCUCACUUCUCUCAUACAGAAGUACAAAAAAACAAAGGAUAACACAGAAUGAGAUAGCACAAUAUCUGCAAUGCUGAAACCAAAUGAGAAAAGUUUACUGAAGAGUCAAGACCAAAAGGAAGUCACUGAAGGCAGGAACUGCAAAAUAAGCAGCAGCAAGCCGAGCAAGAAGGCUUAGGCACUAGUUUUCUACGAAUUCUGAAGAAGGAUACUAGCAGAGGAUACUGUCUUCGAAGAGCCCUUUGGCACAGUUCUAUAUUUUCUAAGAGUUCGGGAACAACUUGUUCUGAAGUUAGCUGAUACAUACGAUGAGAUAUGCUAGUGCAAGAACACAUGAGAAGGCUAUAAUGAAGGAAUCUUAACAAAUUCACUGUUGUAUAUGAGCGAAAGGAACUACCAAGCCCGGCAGAAGGAACAUAGGGCCGGCAAUAUCCCCAGGCCAGUGUCCAUCAUGUGCUUGGAGAGUAGACAACUGUCCAAUUGCCCUCUUUAAAGAGGUCAAAACAGCUUCUUCGGUGACAUCUUCAUGCUCUUGGAGCUUGAUACCAGGAACGUCCAGCUUGGGAGCACCCAACUCGGCGAACUGCAAAAAGUGCAAGUGUUUUGCAAUGACAUGUGAGUUAUUUAAAGAAAAAAUCAAACCCAUGAAAACCGAGAACAAGAAACUAACAUGCAAAUGACACAAUAUUUACAUACAUGCUAGGAGAGGGCAUAUCUGGUGAAAAUGGCCUUCGGCGAGAAAUGCAUGUAGAAAUUCGCAUAAAAUCUCGAGUAAUCUCAGUAGGAAUGUCGUGUUCAACAUAUCAUAUUUUCCUUUUCUUCAUAUAUGGCAAAACACAUCGAAAUGCAACCCUAAUUUUCUGCAUGCCCUUCAAUGGUACUAAAAAAUAGGGAGUACCUAGAACUCAUCUAGAUGAGAUAUAAUUUGGUCUAUGAGUUCUAGCAAAACUGUAAAAAAUAUUGGAUUAAAAACACCUUUUCAUCCUAUUUUGACGGAAUUAGCGAGCCUAACAUCGUUUCACUUGCAUUUCCUAGUUUAUUCCAACUCUGCUGAGACGGCAAAUUGGCAUUCCAGCGGAUAAUAAGUAAACAAGCUGAGACGGCAAAUUGCAAGGAGGGUUAGUAGGUGGUUACGCGCUGGUGAGAGAGGGCCCCGAAUCCGUGGAGGGGACCGUCCGCGGCGAGCACGUAGAGCCUCCUCCGGGGUUCGUCAUCUCGCCGCCGCCGUGGGAGUGCAGAGCCGCGGCGGCUCCGGCCGGAGGUGGCAGCGGCAGCGGAACGGAGGUACAGAACUGGGCCCUGGGCUCCCCUCUACUCUGAAUCUCUGAUUCUACACGAAAACGCAUCAUCCAUGGCCCAGUCGGGCGUCUUGGUUUUCCAGCGUUUUUUUAAGAGGAACUACCACAUGUUCAUUCAACAAAGAACUGUACACAUUUUUUUGCGGGGGAAAGAACUGUACACAUUCACCCUAAAAAAAGAAAAUAACUGUACACAUUCCUAAAAAAGACUGUACACACAUGGUUGCUCCAUGAGACAAACAAAGGGACAGCUGUCCUUAAAAAAAGACAGUUGUCCUAAAGCUUUGCACAAAGGACCCCAUAAAAAAGAUUUGUAAUUUGACCCAUCAAGAUCCAUGUGCAAAUCUAGUCCCUUAAGCAUUGUCGGACUUCAUCGUCGCCGUGGCAACACCGGAGAUGGACGAUAGCAGCCAUCACUCGCGAAUCUAAAAGAACUCCAAUGCAGACCAUGCUGCUAGGUGAAUUGAUUGAACGGUCUGCCGCAUGCAACAUAGCUGAGGCUAUGUGGCUCGUUGACCGGGGAUCAUCCUCGAGCCCGUCAGACCCCGACAUCAUCGCCUUCAUCCACUUAGGUCAUUUUUUGUUUCUUUGGGUUUUCGGUUUAUUCAAUCAUUUCAAGGUUUCAGUCAGUUUUUAUUUAGUUUUUCUAUUUCAAAAAACAAUAGAAAUAAAAAAAACGUUCAUGUCAUUUAAAAGGUGUUUAUAUUUUUAAUAGGAAUGUAAUUUUAGAAACAAUUCAACCCUUUUUUAAAUAUUCAUGCUAUUUAAUGUAUACCUAUUUUAAAUGUUUGUGUAAUUUAAAAAGUAUUCACAUCUUUAAAAAAACGUUUAUUUAAAUUUGAAAUUAUUCAUGUACUUAUAAUUUGAUGGGUCACAUGGACCCUAUUGAUUUGACGCAACAUUCCCUUACAUUGCAAAAUUUAAUUGCUUUUAUUCUAUUAUUAUAUGCACGCUUGUUAUUCUAGAUAGUGAAAAGUAUAUUGAGAAUCAAGUUUAGAAUUUAACUGGUCUUUCUAAAUUUUGGUACUGUGGGAAGUUAAUGUUCUAGAAACAUGCAAUUUUCUUUGUUACAGAUCAUUUUUUGUUUGCUACUACUCAUUGUUGAAUUUUGUUAUUUUUCUAUAGUUCACAAAGAUUUUGAGUAAAAACUUAAAAUUCCAUGUUUUAUUAGAAUUCCAUCCCUGCAACAUACUUUAUUUUAGGACCUUUUUAUGUUGUUUUCACUUAUUUUUACCGUAAGUUGGUUUCAAGAAAUAUUCCCUCGCAUUAUCUCAUCCACUAAUUAAUAUUUCAAUGAUUGUAUCACCGCAACAAUGAUUGCACUGCCACAAAUUUCCCGUCUUUAUUUUUUCUUUUUCUUUCCAUUAUUUUAUGGUCCCAUCUUUUAAUCACAGUGUUGUCUAGUUUGUUUCUAAAUCACAUGUAUUUAUUUGUAUGUCUUUAUUUUUUUAUGUUUGAUUGUGCUCUCGUCUUCCAUUUUUAGUUGUCCUCUAGAUAUUCUCUGCAUCGCCAUCCUUAAUGACAACCUCCGAGGCCCUGGACAGUGUAACGGUAAGCUCCUCUGCCACCUCUAGCCCCAUGGGAUAUAGUCGUGUCCACGUCCACGCCAUUUGCCAAACACUAGUGGUUGGGGUGUCAUCCUGUGGCGCCGCUUGAGACAAAACUGUGUGCACAUUUUUAUUUAAAAAAAAAUACAUAGAGUCUCCGUCUCCAUCUAAAAAAACAUCUCAUAAAAAAUCCUCACAUUCGUCUAAAAAAAGUAAAAAGGAAAAAAAAAUACCACCGCAGCGUAUUAGCGAGUGCCACUUUGUAUAACCCUCCAUUUAAAAAAUACUGUCCUCACCUUCAUCUAAAAUAUACAUUUAAAAAAUAAUCCACACAUUCAUCUAAUUUUUUUUUAAAUAUUUCUCAGCGCGGCCAACCAGCUUACGCCAUGUGGCAUAGCUAUUGGCCUUCCUUCAUGCGUAGCUUAAUGGGUUUAAUGAUGCCUCGACUGCUAUAGAUGGUUGUGACCAUGUCAUUGUGUUAGACGAAGUCAAAGAUGCAUGGCAGCUCCAAGUGCAUGGUGAGGACGUCAACUUCAUGCCCGGUGAUGAUCUCUGCAAAUACGGUGGCUGCCUGCAUGGAUGAUGAUGGCAUUGACAUCAUGGCCACAGCCGCGGGUUACCCGGGGUUGUCCCUUUUCUUUGUCCUGGUUGUAUUGCCACCAAGGGAUGUUAGAGAGCUCCUAUUUAAUGCUCUCUGCAUCAAAACUUUCAGAGAAACACACAUUGUGCUCGCCUUCAUGGGAACGACACGCUCGCUGGUUGGUGCGCGACCCAAAACACUAAUGAGACCCAUAAGAGAGUGCUCAAUGCUCUUUGUGUUCUAGCCAUGUGGAAGAUUUGAAAACAUCGCAAUGCAAUUGUGUUCGAGGGUGCUUCUCCAUCGGUGACCUAUGUGCUUCGUCGCUUCGCGGAGGAAGGCCGGAAUUGGAAACAAGCAGGUUUACUUAAGGGCGAUCUUGCCGGCUUCUUCAACCGGGUGGAACGGCGGGUGAGCACGACAAGUUAGCUUCUGAGAAAGUAGAAAGUAGGGUGGAGGUGGUAAUGCUGUACAUGUAAAUACCGUGUAACAACAUUGUGGAGGGCUCUUUCACCCCUUUCCUCUUAAUAUAUAUAGUACGCACACUCGUGCGUAUUCGAGAAAAAACUGCAUCAAAACCUGCUCGAUGGCCAGGGCACUUCAAGAUAAUGCUUGGGCGAGGGGCGUGUACCCUGAGGUAAACCCCGACACCUUGCACGAGUAUCUCGCAUUGUGGACAUGGGUUGCCGACAUUCCGCUGGAUCAGACGAGGCAGGAUGAAGUGGUUUGGUCCUGGGAGACGAACGGCAUAUACACCACGCGAUCAGCCUACGCGGCAAAGUUUUGGGGAAGGGAGGUGGAUCAAACGGAAGAAUUCACAUGGAAAGCUAGGGCUCCGCUACGCUGCCGAUCCUUCGCGUGGUUGGCCCUACAGAAUAGAUGCUGGACAUCUGAAUGCCUGGCAAGGAGAGGCCUUGAACACCAAGACAAUUGCCCGCUCUUCAACCAUGAGGAGGACAACAUCGACCACCUAUUCAUCCGAUGUGUCUUCAUCAGACAGCUUUGGGCUGUGAUCUUCCAGGCCAUGGACAAGUCAUGUUGGGUGCCCACGAUGAACGACACGCUCGCUGGUUGGUGCACGACUGAAAACACUAAUGAGACCCACAAGAGAGUGCUCAAUGCUCUUCGUGUUCUAGCCAUGUGGGAGAUUUGGAAACAUCGCAAUGCAAUUGUGCUCGAGGGUGCUUCUCCAUCGAUGACCUAUGUGCUUUGUCGCUUCGCGGAGGAAGGCCGGAAUUGGAAACAAGCGGGUUUACUUAAGGGCGAUCUUGCCGGCUUCUUCAACCGGGUGGAACGGCGGGUGAGCACGACAAGUUAGCUUAUGAGAAAGUAGAAAGUAGGGUGGAGGUGGUAAUGCUCAACAUGUAAAUACCGUGUAACAACAUUGUGGAGGGCUCUUUCACCCCUUUCCUCUUAAUAUAUAUAGUACGCACACUCGUGCGUAUUCGAGAAAAAGCUGCAUCAAAACGUGCUCAGUGGCCAGGGCACUUCAAGAUAAUGCUUGGGCGAGGGACGUGGACCUUGAGGUAAACCCUGACGCCUUGCACAAGUAUCUUGCAUUGUGGACAUGGGUUGCCGGCAUUCCGUUGGAUCACACGAGGCAUGAUGAAGUGGUUUGGUCCUGGGAGACGACGACAUAUACACCACGCGAUCAACCUACGCGGCAAAGUUUUGGGGAAGGGAGGUGGAUUAAACGGUAGAAUUCACAUGGAAAGCUAGGGCUCCGCUACGCUGCCGAUCCUUCGCGUGGUUGGCCCUGCAGAAUAGAUGUUGGACAUCUGACCGCCUGGCAAGGAGAGGCCUUGAUCACCAAGACAAUUGCCCGCUCUGCAACCAUGAGGAGUAAAGCAUCGACCACCUAUUCAUCCGAUGUGUCUUCACCAGGCAGCUUUGGGCUGUGAUCUUCCAGGCCAUGGACAAGCCAUGUUGGGUGCCCACGAUGAAUGACACGCUCGCUGGUUGGUGCAUGACCCAAAACACUAAUGAGACCCACAAGAGAGUGCUCAAUGCUCUUCGUGUUCUAGCCACGUGGGAGAUUUGGAAACAUCGCAAUGCAAUUGUGUUCGAGGGUGCUUCUCCAUCGGUGACCUAUGUACUUAUUCGCUUCGCGGAGGAAGGCCGAAAUUGGAAACAAGCGGGUUUACUUAAGGACGAUCUUGCCGGCUUCUUCAACCGGGUGGAACGGCGGGUGAGCACGACAAGUUAGCUUCUGAGAAAGUAGAAAGUAGGGUGGAGGUGGUAAUGUUGUACAUGUAAAUACCGUGUAACACCAUUAUGGAGGGCUCUUUCACCCCUUUCCUCUUAAUAUAUAUAGUAUGCACACUCGUGCGUAUUCGAGAAAAAACUGCAUCAAAACGUGCUCGGUGGCCAGGGCACUUCAAGAUAAUGCUUGGGCGAUGGACGUGGACUCGUAGGUAAACCCCAACGCCUUGCACGAGUAUCUCACAUUGUGGACAUGGGUUGCCGGCAUUCCGCUGGAUCAGACGGGGCAGGAUGAAGUGGUUUGCUCUUGGGAGAUGAACGACAUAUACACCACGCGAUCAGCCUACACGGCAAAGUUUUGGGGAAGGGAGGUGGAUCAAACGGCGGAAUUCACAAGGAAAGCUAGGGCUCCGCUAUGCUGCCGAUCCUUCGCGUGGUUGGCCCUGCAGAAUAGAUGCUGGACAUCUGACCGCCUGGCAAGGAGAGGCCUUGAUCACCAAGACAAUUGCCCACUCUGCAACUAUGAGGAGGAAAGCAUCGAGCACCUAUUCAUCCGAUGUGUCUUCACCAGGCAGCUUUGGGCUGUGAUCUUCCAGGCCAUGGACAAGCAAUGUUGGGUACCCACGAUGAACGACACACACGCUGGAUGGUGCACGACCCAAAACACUAAUGAGACCCACAAGAGAGUGCUCAAUGCUCUUCGUGUUCUAGGCAUGUGGGAGAUUUGGAAACAUCGCAAUGCAAUUGUGUUCGAGGGUGCUUCUCCAUUGGCGACCUAUGUGCUUCGUCAGUUCGCGGAGGAAGGACGGAACUGGAAACAAGCGGGUUUACUUAAGGACGAUCUUGCCGGCUUCUUCAACCGGGUGGAACGGCGGGUGAGCACGACAAGUUAGCUUCUGAGAAAGUAGAAAGUAGGGUGGAGGUGGUAAUGUUGUACAUGUAAAUACCGUGUAACAACAUUGUGGAGGGCUCUUUCACCCCUUUCCUCUUAAUAUAUAUAGUACGCACACUCGUGCGUACUCGAGAAAAAACUGCAUCAAAACAUGCUCGGUGGCCAGGGCACUUCAAGAUAAUGCUUGGGCGAUGGACGUGGACCCUGAGGUAAACCCCGACACCUUGCACGACUAUCUCGCAUUGUGGACAUGGGUUGCUGGCAUUCCGCUGGAUCAGACGAGGCAGGAUGAAGUGGUUUGCUCCUGGGAGACGAACGACAUAUACACCACGCGAUCAGCCUACGCGGCCAAGUUUUGGUGGAGGGAGGUGGAUCAAACAACGGAUUUCACAAGAAAAGCCAGGGCUCCGCAACACUGCCGAUUCUUUGCGUGGUUGGCCCUGAAGAAUAGAUGCUGGACAGCUGACCGCCUGGCAAGGAGAGGCCUUGAUCACCAAGACAAUUGCCCGCUCUGCAACCAUGAGGAGGAAAGCAUCGACCACCUAUUCAUCUGAUGUGUCUUCACCAGGCAGCUUUGGGAUGUGAUCUUCCAGGCCAUGGACAAGCCAUGUUGGGUGCCCACGAUGAACGACACGCUCGCUGGUUGGUGCACGACCCAAAACACUAAUGAGACCCACAAGAGAGUGCUCAAUGCUCUUCGUGUUCUAGCCAUGUGGGAGAUUUGGAAACAUCGCAAUGCAAUUGUGCUCGAGGGUGCUUCUCCAUCGGUGACCUAUGUGCUUCGUCGCUUCGCGGAGGAAGGCUGGAAUAGGAAACAUGCGGGUUUACUUACGGACGAUCUUGCAGGCUUCUUCAACCGGGUGGAACGGCGGGUGAGCACGACAAGUUAGCUUCCGAGAAAGUAGAAAGUAGGGUGGAGGCGGUAAUGUUGUACAUGUAAAUACCGUGUAACAACAUUGUGGAGGACUCUUUCACCCCUUUCCUCUUAAUAUAUAUAGUACGCACAGUCGUGCGUAUUCAAGAAAAAACUGCAUCAAAACAUGCUCGGUGGCCAGGGCACUUCAACAUAAUGCUUGGACGAGGGACGUGGACCCUGAGGUAAACCCCGACGCCUUGCACAAGUAUCUCGCAUUGUGGACAUGGGUUGCCGACAUUCCGCUGGAUCAGACGAGGCAUGAUGAAGUGGUUUGGUCCUGGGAGACGAACGACAUAUACACCACGCGAUCAGCCUACACGGCAAAGUUUUGGGGAACGGAUGUGGAUCAAACGGCGGAAUUGACAUGGAAAGCUAGGGCUCCGCUACGCUGCCGAUCCUUCGUGUGGUUGGCCCUGCAGAAUAGAUGCUGGACAUCUGUCCGCCUGGCAAGGAGAGGCCUUGAUCACCAAGACAAUUGCCCGCUCUGCAACGAUGAGGAGGAAAGCAUGGACCACCUAUUCAUCCGAUGUGUCUUCACCAGGCAGCUUUGGGCUGUGAUCUUCCAGGCCAUGGACAAGCCAUGUUGGGUGCCCACGAUGAACGACACGCUCGCUGGUUGGUGCACGACCCAAAACACUGAUGAGACCCACAAGAGAGUGCUCAAUGCUCUUCGUGUUCUAACCAUGUGGGAGAUUUGGAAAUCGCAAUGCAAUUGUGCUCGAGGGUGCUUCUACAUCGGUGACCUAUGUGCUUCAUCGCUUCGCGGAGGAAGGACGGAAUUGGAAACAAGCGAGUUUACUUAAGGGCGAUCUUGCCGGCUUCUUCAACCGGGUGGAACGGCGGGUGAGCACGACAAGUUAGCUUCUGAGAAAGUAGAAAGUAGGGUGGAGGUGGUAAUGUUGUACAUGUAAAUACCGUGUAACAACAUUGUGGAGGGCUCUUUCACCCCUUUCCUCUUAAUAUAUAUAGUACGCACACUCAUGCGUAUUCAAGAAAAAACUGCAUAAAAACGUGCUCGGUGGCCAGGGCACUUCAAGAUAAUGCUUGGGCGAGGGACAUGGACCCUGAGGUAAACCCCGACGCCUUGCACGAGUAUCUCGCAUUGUGGACAUGGGUUGCCGGCAUUCCGCUGGAUCACACGAGGCAUGAUGAAGUGGUUUGCUCCUGGGAGACGAACGACAUAUACACCACGCGAUCAGCCUACGCGGCAACGUUUUGGGGAAGGGAGGUGGAUCAAAUGGCGGAAUUCACAUGGAAAGCUAGGGCUCCGCUAUGCUGCCGAUCCUUCAUCUGGUUGGCCCUGCAGAAUAGAUGCUGGACAUCUGACCGCCUGGCAAGGAGAGGCCUUGAUCACCAAUACAAUUGCCCUCUCUGCAACCACGAGGAGGAAAGCAUCGACCACCUAUUCAUCCGAUGUGUCUUCACCAGGCAGCUUUGGGCUGUGAUCUUCCAGGCCAUGGACAAGCCAUGUUGGGUGCCCACGAUGAACGACACGCUCGCUGGUUGGUGCACGACCCAAAACACUAAUGGGACGCACAAGAGAGUGCUCAAUGCUCUUCGUGUUGUAACCAUGUGGGAGAUUCGGAAACAUCACAAUGCAAUUGUGCUCGAGGGUGCUUCUCCAUGGGUGACCUAUGUGCUUCGUCGCUUCGUGGAGGAAGGACGGAAUUGGAAACAAGCGGGUUUACUUAAGGGCGAUCUUGCCGGCUUCUUCAAUCGGGUGGAACGACGGGUGAGCACGACAAGUUAGCUUCUGAGAAAGUAGAAAGUAGGGUGGAGGUGGUAAUGUUGUACAUGUAAAUACCGUGUAACAACAUUGUGGAGGGCUCUUUCACCCCUUUCCUCUUAAUAUAUAUAGUACGCACACUCGUGCGUAUUCGAGAAAAAACUGCAUCAAAAUGUGCUCGGUGGCCAGGGCACUUCAAGAUAAUGCUUGGGCGAGGGACGUGGACCCUGAGGUAAACCCCGACGCCUUGCACGAGUAUCUCGCAUUGUGGACAUGGGUUGCCAGCAUUCCGCUGGAUCACACGAGGCAUAAUGAAGUGGUUUGGUCAUGGGAGACGAACGGCAUAUACACCACGCGAUCAGCCUACGUGGCAAAGUUUUGGGGAAGGGAGGUGGAUCAAACGGCGGAAUUCACAUGGAAAUCUAGGGCUCCGCUACGCUGCCGAUCCUUCGCAUGGUUGGCCCUGCAGAAUAGAUGCUGGACAUCUAACCGCCUGGCAAGGAGAGGCCUUGAUCACCAAGACAAUUGCCCACUCUGCAACCAUGGGAGGAAAGCAUCGGGCACCUAUUCAUCCGAUGUGUCUUCACCAGGCAGCUUUGGGCUGUGAUCUUCCAGGCCAUGGACAAGCAAUGUUGGGUGCCACGAUGAACGACACACACGCUGGUUGGUGCACGACCCAAAACACUAAUGAGACCCACAAGAGAGUGCUCAAUGCUCUUCGUGUUCUAGGCACGUGGGAGAUUUGGAAACAUCGCAAUGCAAUUAUGUUCGAGGGUGCUUCUCCAUCGGUGACCUAUGUGCUUUGUCAGUUCGCGGAGGAAGGACGGAAUUGGAAACAAGCGGGUUUACUUAAGGACGAUCUUGCCGGUUUCUUCAACCGGGUGGAACGGCGGGUGAGCACGAGAAGUUAGCUUCUGAGAAAGUAGAAAGUAGGGUGGGGGUGGUAAUGUUGUACAUGUAAAUACCAUGUAACAACAUUGUGGAGGGCUCUUUCACCCCUUUCCUCUUAAUAUAUAUAGUACGCACACUCAUGCGUAUUCGAGAAAAAACUGCAUCAAAACGUGCUCGGUGGCCAGGGCACUUCAAGAUAAUGCUUGGGCGAUGGACGUGGACCCGUAGGUAAACCCCGACGCCUUGCAUGAGUAUCUCGCAUUGUGGACAUGGGUUGCCGGCAUUCCGCUGGAUCAGACGAGGCAGGAUGAAGUGGUUUGGUCCGUGGAGACGAACGACAUAUACACCACAUGAUCAGCGUACGCGGCAAAGUUUUGGGGAAUGGAGGUGGAUCAAAUGGCGGAAUUCACAUGGAAAGCUAGGGCUCCGCUACGCUGCCGAUCCUUCGCGUGGUUGGUCCUACAGAAUAGAUGCUGGACAUCUGACCGCCUGGCAAGGAGAGGCCUUGAUCACCAAGACAAUUGCCUGCACUGCAACCAUGAGGAGGAAAGCAUCGACCACCUAUUCAUCCGAUGUCUCUUCGCCAGGCAGCUUUGGGCUUUGAUCUUCCAGGCCAUGGACAAGCCAUGUUGGGUGCCCACGAUGAACGACACGCUUGCUGGUUGGUGCACGGCCCAAAACACUAAUGAGACCCACAAGAGAGUGCUCAAUGCUCUUCGUUUUCUAACCAUGUGGGAGAUUUGGAAACAUCGCAAUGCAUUUGUGCUCGAGGGUGCUUCUCCAUCGGUGACCUAUGUGCUUCCUCACUUCGCGGAGGAAGGCCGGAAUUGGAAACAAGCGGGUUUACUUAAGGACGAUCUUGCCGGCUUCUUCAACCGGGUGGAACGGCGGGUGAGCACGACAAGUUAGCUUCUGAGAAAGUAGAAAGUAGGGUGGAGGUGGUAAUGUCGUACAUGUAAAUACCGUGUAACAACAUUGUGGAGGGCUCUUUCACCCCUUUCCUCUUAAUAUAUAUAGUACGCACACUCGUGCGUAUUCGAGAAAAAACUGCAUCAAAACGUGCUCGGUGGCCAGGGCACUUUAAGAUAAUGCUUGGGCGAGGGACGUGGACCCUGAGGUAAACCCCGACGCCUUGCACGAGUAUCUCGAAUUGUGGACAUGGGUUGCCGGCAUUCCGCAGGAUCAGACGAGGCAGGAUGAAGUGGUUUGGUUCUGGGAGACGAACGACAUAUACACCACGCGAUCAGCCUAUGCGGCAAAGUGUUGGGGAAGGGAGGUGGAUCAAAUGGCGGAAUUGACAUGGAAAGCUAGGGCUCCGCUACGCUACCGAUCCUUCGUGUGGUUGGCCCUGCAGAAUAGAUGCUGGACAUCUGACCUCCUGGCAAGGAGUUGCCUUGAUUACCAAGACAAUUGCCCUCUCUGCAACCAUGAGGAGGAAAGCAUCGACCACCUAUUCAUCCGAUGUGUCUUCACCAGGCAGCUUUGGGCUAUGAUCUUCGAGGCCAUGGACAAGCCAUGUUGGGUGCCCAUGAUGAACGACACACUCGCUGGUUGGUGCACGACCCAAAACACUAAUGAGACCCAGAAUAGAGUGCUCAAUGCUCUUCAUGUUCUAGCCAUGUGGGAGAUUUGGAAACAUCACAAUGCAAUUGUGCUCGAGGGUGCUUCUCCAUUCGUGACCUAUGUGCUUCGUCGCUUGGCGGAGGAAGGCCGGAAUUGGAAACAAGCGGGUUUACUUAAGGGCGAUCUUGCCAGCUUCUUCAACCGGGUGGAACGGCGGGUGGGCACGACAAGUUAGCUUCUGAGAAAGUAGAAAGUAGGGUGGAGGUGGUAAUGCCGUACAUGUAAAUACCGUGUAACAACAUUGUGGAGGGCUCUUUCACCCCUUUCCUCUUAAUAUAUAUAGUACGCACACUCAUGCGUAUUCGAGAAAAAACUGCAUCAAAACGUGCUCGGUGGCCAGGGCACUUUAAGAUAAUGCUUGGGCGAGGGACGUGGACCCUGAAGUAAACCCCGACGCCUUGCACGAAUAUCUCGCAUUGUGGACAUGGGUUGCCGGCAUUCCGCUGGAUCAGACGAGGCAGGAUGAAGUGGUUUGGUUCUGGGAGACGAACGACAUAUACACCACGCGAUCAGCCUAUGCGGCAAAGUUUUGGGGAAGGGAGGUGGAUCAAAUGGCGGAAUUCACAUGGAAAGCUAGGGCUCCGCUACGCUGCUGAUCCUUCGUGUGGUUGGCCCUGCAGAAUAGAUGUUGGACAUCUGACCGCCUGGCAAGGAGAGGCCUUGAUUACCAAGACAAUUACCCUCUCUACAACCAUGAGGAGGAAAGCAUCGACCACCUAUUCAUCCGAUGUGUCUUCACUAGGAAGCUUUGGGCUGUGAUCUUCCAGGCCAUGGACAAGCCAUGUUGGGUGCCCACGAUGAACGACACACUCGCUUGUUGGUGCACGACCCAAAACACUAAUGAGACCCAGAAGAGAGUGCUCAAUGCUCUUCGUGUUCUAGCCAUGUGGAAGAUUUGGAAACAUCACAAUGCAAUUGUGCUCGAGGGUGCUUCUCCAUUCGUUACCUAUGUGCUUCGUCGCUUGGCGGAGGAAGGCCGGAAUUGGAAACAAGCGGGUUUAUUUAAGGGCGAUCUUGCCGGCUUCUUCAACCGGGUGGAAUGGCGGGUGAGCACGACAAGUUAGCUUCUGAGAAAGUAGAAAGUAGGGUGGAGGUGGUAAUGCUGUACAUGUAAAUACCGUGUAACAACAUUAUGGAGGGCUCUUUCACCCCUUUCCUCUUAAUAUAUAUAGUACGCACACUCGUGCGUAUUCAAGAAAAAACUGCAUCAAAACGUGCUCGGUGGCCAGGGCACUUCAAGAUAAUGCUUGGGCGAGGGACGUGGUGAAGGAAAUAUGCCCUAGAGGCAAUAAUAAAGUUAUUAUUUAUUUCCUUAUAAUCAUGAUAAAUGUUUAUUAUUCAUGCUAGAAGUGUAUUUACCGGAAACAUAAUACAUGUGUGAAUACAUAGACAAACAAAGUGUCACUAGUAUGCCUCUACUUGACUAGCUCGUUAAUCAAAGAUGGUUAUGUUUCCUAACCAUGAACAAUGAGUUGUUAUUUGAUUAACGAGGUCACAUCAUUAGCAGAAUGAUCUGAUUGACAUGACCCAUUCCAUUAGCUUAGCACCCGAUCGUUUAGUAUGUUGCUAUUGCUUUCUUCAUGACUUAUACAUGUUCCUAUGACUAUGAGAUUAUGCAACUCCCGUUUACCGGAGGAACACUUUGGGUACUACCAAACGUCACAACGUAACUGGGUGAUUAUAAAGGAGUACUACAGGUGUCUCCAAUGGUUGAUGUUGGGUUGGCGUAUUUCGAGAUUAGGAUUUGUCACUCCGAUUGUCGGAGAGGUAUCUCUGGGCCCUCUCGGUAAUACACAUCACAUAAGCCUUGCAAGCAUUACAACUAAUAUGUUAGUUGUGAGAUGAUGUAUUACGAAACGAGUAAAGAGACUUGCCGGUAACGAGAUUGAACUAGGUAUUGGAUACCGACGAUCGAAUCUCGGGCAAGUAACAUACCGAUGACAAAGGGAACAACGUAUGUUGUUAUGCGGUCUGACCGAUAAAGAUCUUCGUAGAAUAUGUAGGAGCCAAUAUGGGCAUCCAGGUCCCACUAUUGGUUAUUGGCCAGAGACGUGUCUCGAUCAUGUCUACAUUGUUCUCGAAGCCGUAGGGUCCGCACGCUUAAGGUUACGAUGACAGUUAUAUUAUGAGUUUAUACAUUUUGAUGUACCGAAGGUUGUUCGGAGUCCCGGAUGUGAUCACGGACAUGACGAGGAGUCUCGAAAUGGUCGAGACGUAAAGAUUGAUAUAUUGGAAGCCUAUAUUUGGAUAUCGGAAGUGUUCCGGGUGAAAUCGGGAUUUUACCGGAAUACCGGGAGGGUUACCGGAACCCCCCGGGAGCUAUUUGGGCCAUAGUGGGCCUUAGUGGAAAAGAGAAGGGGCUGCCCUAGAUGGGCUGCGCGCCCCCCCUUUCCCCUAGUCCUAUUAGGACUAGGAGAGGUGGCCGGCCCCCUCCUCCUCUUUUCCCCUCCGAGGAAUCCUAGUUGGACUAGGAUUGGAGGGGGAAUCCUACUCCCAGAGGGAGUAGGACUCUCCUGCGCCUCCCCCCCUUGGACGGCCAGCCUCCCCUCCUCUCCUCCUUUAUAUACGGAGGCAGGGGCACCUCUAAACACACAAGUUGACACAAGUUGAUCCACGUGAUCUAUUCCUUAGCCGUGUGCGGUGCCCCCUGCCACCAUAUUCCUCGAUAAUACUGUAGCGGAGUUUAGGCGAAGCCCUGCUGCUGUAGUUCAUCAAGAUCGUCACCACACCGUCGUGCUGACGAAACUCUUCCCCGACACUUUGCUGGAUCGGAGUCCGGGGAUCGUCAUCGAGCUGAACGUGUGCUCGAACUCGGAGGUGCCGUAGUUUCGGUGCUUGAUCGGUUGGACCGAGAAGACGUACGACUACUUCCUCUACGUCGUGUCAUCGCUUCCGCAGUCGGUCUGCGUUGGGUACGUAGACAAUACUCUCCCCUCGUUGCUAUGCAUCACAUGAUCCUGUGUGUGCGUAGGAAAUUUUUUGAAAUUACUACGAAACCCUUCAGUGGUAUCCGAGCCAGGUUAUUUAUGUUGAUGUUAUAUGCACGAGUAGAACACAAGUGAGUUGUGGACGAUACAAGUCAUACUGCCUACCAGCAUGUCAUACUUUGGUUCGGCGGUAUUGUUGGACGAGACGACCCGGACCAACCUUACGCGUACGCUUACGCGAGACCGGUUCCCUCGACGUGCUUUGCACAGAGAUGGCUUGCGGGCGACUGUCUCUCCAACUUUAGUUGAACCAAGUAUGGCUACGCCCGGUCCUUGCGAAGGUUAAAACGGAGUCUAUUUGACAAACUAUCGUUGUGGUUUUGAUGCGUAGGUGAGAUUGGUUCUUACUUAAGCCCGUAGCAGCCACGUAAAACAUGCAACAACAAAGUAGAGGACGUCUAACUUGUUUUUGCAGGGCAUGUUGUGAUGUGAUAUGGUCAAGGCAUGAUGCUGAAUUUUAUUGUAUGAGAUGAUCAUGUUUUGUAACUGAGUUAUCGGCAACUGGCAGGAGCCAUAUGGUUGUCGCUUUAUUGUAUGCAAUGCAAUCGCGAUGUAAUGCUUUACUUUAUUACUAAACGGUAGUGAUAGUCGUGGAAGCAUAAGAUUGGCGAGACGACAACGAUGCUACGAUGGAGAUCAAGGUGUCGCGCCGGUGUCGAUGGUGAUCAUGACGGCGCUUCGGAGAUGGAGAUCAAAAGCACAAGAUGAUGAUGACCAUAUCAUAUCACUUAUAUUGAUUGCAUGUGAUGUUUAUCUUUUUAUGCAUCUUAUCUUGCUUUGAUUGACGGUAGCAUUAUAAGAUGAUCUCUCACUAAAUUAUCAAGAAGUGUUCUCCCUGAGUAUGCACCGUUGCCAAAGUUCCUCGUGCCCAGACACCACGUGAUGAUCGGGUGUGAUAAGCUCUACGUCCAUCUACAACGGGUGCAAGCCAGUUUUGCACACGCAGAAUACUCAGGUUAAACUUGACGAGCCUAGCAUAUGCAGAUAUGGCCUCGGAACACGGAGACCGAAAGGUCGAGCGUGAAUCAUAUAGUAGAUAUGAUCAACAUAACGAUGUUCACCAUUGAAAACUACUCCAUCUCACGUGAUGAUCGGUCAUGGUUUAGUUGAUUUGGAUCACGUAAUCACUUAGAGGAUUAGAGGGAUGUCUAUCUAAGUGGGAGUUCUUAAAUAAUAUGAUUAAUUGAACUUAAAUUUAUCAUGAACUUAGUACCUGAUAGUAUCUUGCUUGUUUAUGUUGAUUGUAGAUAGAUGGCUCGUGCUGUUGUUCCGUUGAAUUUUAAUGCGUUCCUUGAGAAAGCAAAGUUGAAAGAUGAUGGUAGAAAUUACACGGACUGGGUCCGUAACUUGAGGAUUAUCCUCAUUGCUGCACAGAAAAAUUACGUCCUGGAAGCACCGCUGGGUGCCAGGCCUGCUGCUGGAGCAACACCAGAUGUUAUGAACGUCUGGCAGAGCAAAGCUGAUGACUACUCGAUAGUUCAGUGUGCCAUGCUUUACGGCUUAGAAUCGGGACUUCAACGACGUUUUGAACGUCAUGGAGCAUAUGAGAUGUUCCAGGAGUUGAAGUUAAUAUUUCAAGCAAAUGCCCGAAUUGAGAGAUAUGAAGUCUCCAAUAAGUUCUAUAGCUGCAAGAUGGAGGAGAACAGUUCUAUCAGUGAGCAUAUACUCAAAAUGUCUGGGUAUAAUAAUCACUUGAUUCAAUUGGGAGUUAAUCUUCCGGAUGAUUGCGUUAUUGACAGAAUUCUCCAAUCACUGCCACCAAGCUACAAGAGCUUCGUGAUGAACUAUAAUAUGCAAGGGAUGAACAAGACUAUUCCCGAGCUCUUCGCAAUGCUGAAAGCUGCGGAGGUAGAAAUCAACAAGGAGCAUCAAGUGUUGAUGGUUAACAAGACCACUAGUUUCAAGAAAAAGGGCAAAGGGAAGAAAAAGGGGAACUUCAAGAAGAACGGCAAGCAAGUUGCUGCUCAAGAGAAGAAACCCAAGUCUGGACCUAAGCCUGAAACUGAGUGCUUCUACUGCAAGCAGACUGGUCACUGGAAGCGGAACUGCCCCAAGUAUUUGGCGGAUAAGAAGGAUGGCAAGGUGAACAAAGGUAUAUGUGAUAUACAUGUUAUUGAUGUGUACCUUACUAGAGCUCGCAGUAGCACCUGGGUAUUUGAUACUGGUUCUGUUGCUAAUAUUUGCAACUCGAAACAGGGACUACGGAAUAAGCGGGCACUGGCAAAGGACGAGGUGACGAUGCGCGUGGGAAACGGUUCCAAAGUCGAUGUGAUCGCUGUCGGCACGCUACCUCUACAUCUACCUUCGGGAUUAAUAUUAGACCUAAGUAAUUGUUAUUUGGUGCCAGCGUUGAGCAUGAACAUUAUAUCUGGAUCUUGUUUAAUGCGAGACGGUUAUUCAUUUAAAUCAGAGAAUAAUGGUUGUUCUAUUUAUAUGAGUAAUAUCUUUUAUGGUCAUGCACCCUUGAAGAGUGGUCUAUUCUUAUUGAAUCUCGAUAGUAGUAAUACACAUAUUCAUAAUGUUGAAGCCAAAAGAUGCAGGGUUGACAAUGAAAGUGCAACUUAUUUGUGGCACUAUCGUUUAGGUCAUAUCGGUAUAAAGCGCAUGAAGAAACUCCAUGCUGAUGGACUUUUGGAACCACUUGAUUAUGAAUCACUUGGUACUUGCGAACCGUGCCUCAUGGGCAAGAUGACUAAAACACCGUUCUCCGGUAAUAUGGAGAGAGCAACAGAUUUGUUGGAAAUCAUACAUACCGAUGUAUGUGGCCCGAUGAAUAUUGAGGCUCGUGGCGGAUAUCGUUAUUUUCUCACCUUCACAGAUGAUUUAAGCAGAUAUGGGUAUAUCUACUUAAUAAAACAUAAGUCUGAAACAUUUGAAAAGUUCAAAGAAUUUCAGAGUGAAGUUGAAAAUCAUCGUAACAAGAAAAUAAAGUUCCUACGAUCUGAUCGUGGAGGAGAAUAUUUGAGUUACGAGUUUGGUGUACAUUUGAAAAACUGUGGAAUAGUUUCGCAACUCACGCCACCCGGAACACCACAGCGUAAUGGUGUGUCCGAAUGUCGUAAUCGUACUUUACUAGAUAUGGUGCGAUCUAUGAUGUCUCUUACUGAUUUACCGCUAUCAUUUUGGGGAUAUGCUUUAGAGACGGCCGCAUUCACGUUAAAUAGGGCACCAUCAAAAUCCGUUGAGACGACGCCUUAUGAACUGUGGUUUGGCAAGAAACCAAAGUUGUCGUUUCUUAAAGUUUGGGGCUGCGAUGCUUAUGUGAAAAAGCUUCAACCUGAUAAGCUCGAACCCAAAUCGGAGAAAUGUGUCUUCAUAGGAUACCCAAAGGAAACUGUUGGGUACACCUUCUAUCACAGAUCCGAAGGCAAAACAUUCGUUGCUAAGAAUGGAUCAUUUCUAGAGAAGGAGUUUCUCUCGAAAGAAGUGAGUGGGAGGAAAGUAGAACUUGACGAGGUAACUGUACCUGCUCCCUUACUGGAAAGUAAUUCAUCACAGAAAACUGUUUCAGUGACACCUACACCAGUUAGUGAGGAAGCCAAUGAUAAUGAUCAUGAAACUUCAGAUCAAGAUACUAUCGAACCGCGUAGAUCAACCAGAGUAAGAUCCGCACCAGAGUGGUACGGUAAUCCUGUUCUGGAGGUCAUGCUACUAGAUCAUGAUGAACCUACGAACUAUGAAGAAGCGAUGGUGAGCCCAGAUUCCGUAAAGUGGCUUGAAGCCAUGAAAUCUGAGAUGGGAUCCAUGUAUGAGAACAAAGUAUGGACUUUGGUUGACUUGCCCGAUGAUCGGCAAGCAAUUGAGAAUAAAUGGAUUUUUAAGAAGAAGACUGACGCUGAUGGUAAUGUUACUGUCUACAAAGCUCGACUUGUCGCAAAAGGUUUUCGGCAAGUUCAAGGAAUUGACUACGAUGAGACCUUCUCACCCGUAGCGAUGCUUAAGUCCGUCCGAAUCAUGUUAGCAAUUGCCGCAUUUUAUGAUUAUGAAAUUUGGCAAAUGGAUGUCAAAACUGCAUUCCUGAAUGGAUUUCUGGAAGAAGAGUUGUAUAUGAUGCAACCAGAAGGUUUUGUCGAUUCAAAGGGAGCUAACAAAGUGUGCAAGCUCCAGCGAUCCAUUUAUGGACUGGUGCAAGCCUCUCGGAGUUGGAAUAAACGUUUUGAUAGUGUGAUCAAAGCAUUUGGUUUUAUACAGACUUUCGGAGAAGCCUGUAUUUACAAGAAAGUGAGUGGGAGCUCUGUAGCAUUUCUGAUAUUAUAUGUGGAUGACAUAUUACUGAUUGGAAAUGAUAUAGAAUUUCUGGAUAGCAUAAAGGGAUACUUGAAUAAAAGUUUUUCAAUGAAAGACCUCGGUGAAGCUGCUUACAUAUUAGGCAUUAAGAUCUAUAGAGAUAGAUCAAGACGCUUAAUUGGACUUUCACAAAGCACAUACCUUGACAAAAUUUUGAAGAAAUUCAAAAUGGAUCAAGCAAAGAAAGGAUUCUUGCCUGUAUUACAAGGUGUGAAGUUGAGUAAGACUCAAUGCCCGACCACUGCAGAAGAUAGAGAGAAUAUGAAAGAUGUUCCCUAUGCAUCAGCCAUAGGCUCUAUCAUGUAUGCAAUGCUGUGUACCAGACCUGAUGUGUGCCUUGCUAUAAGUUUAGCAGGGAGGUACCAAAGUAAUCCAGGAGUGGAUCACUGGACAGCGGUCAAGACAUCCUGAAAUACCUGAAAAGGACUAAGGAUAUGUUUCUCGUAUAUGGAGGUGACAAAGAGCUCACCGUAAAAGGUUACGUUGAUGCAAGCUUUGACACUGAUCCGGACGAUUCUAAAUCGCAAACCGGAUACGUGUUUACAUUAAACGGUGGAGCUGUCAGUUGGUGCAGUUCUAAACAAAGCGUUGUAGCGGGAUCUACAUGUGAAGCGGAAUACAUAGCUGCUUCGGAAGCAGCAAAUGAAGGAGUCUGGAUGAAGGAGUUCAUAUCCGAUCUAGGUAUCAUACCUAGUGCAUCGGGUCCAAUGAAAAUCUUUUGUGACAAUACUGGUGCAAUUGCCUUGGCAAAGGAAUCCAGAUUUCACAAAAGGACCAAACACAUCAAGAGACGCUUCAACUCCAUCCGGGAUCUAGUCUAGGUGGGAGACAUAGAGAUUUGCAAGAUACAUACGGAUCUGAAUGUUGCAGACCCAUUGACUAAGCCUCUUCCACGAGCAAAACAUGAUCAGCACCAAGGCUCCAUGGGUGUUAGAAUCAUUACAGUGUAAUCUAGAUUAUUGACUCUAGUGCAAGUGGGAGACUGAAGGAAAUAUGCCCUAGAGGCAAUAAUAAAGUUAUUAUUUAUUUCCUUAUAAUCAUGAUAAAUGUUUAUUAUUCAUGCUAGAAGUGUAUUUACCGGAAACAUAAUACAUGUGUGAAUACAUAGACAAACAAAGUGUCACUAGUAUGCCUCUACUUGACUAGCUCGUUAAUCAAAGAUGGUUAUGUUUCCUAACCAUGAACAAUGAGUUGUUAUUUGAUUAACGAGGUCACAUCAUUAGCAGAAUGAUCUGAUUGACAUGACCCAUUCCAUUAGCUUAGCACCCGAUCGUUUAGUAUUUUGCUAUUGCUUUCUUCAUGACUUAUACAUGUUCCUAUGACUAUGAGAUUAUGCAACUCCCGUUUACCGGAGGAACACUUUGGGUACUACCAAACGUCAUAACGUAACUGGGUGAUUAUAAAGGAGUACUACAGGUGUCUCCAAUGGUUGAUGUUGGGUUGGCGUAUUUCGAGAUUAGGAUUUGUCACUCCGAUUGUCGGAGAGGUAUCUCUGGGCCCUCUCGGUAAUACACAUCACAUAAGCCUUGCAAGCAUUACAACUAAUAUGUUAGUUGUGAGAUGAUGUAUUACGAAACGAGUAAAGAGACUUGCCGGUAACGAGAUUGAACUAGGUAUUGGAUACCGACGAUCGAAUCUCAGGCAAGUAACAUACCGAUGACAAAGGGAACAACGUAUGUUGUUAUGCGGUCUGACCGAUAAAGAUCUUCGUAGAAUAUGUAGGAUCCAAUAUGGGCAUCCAGGUCCCGCUUUUGGUUAUUGACCAGAGACGUGUCUCGAUCAUGUCUACAUUGUUCUCGAACCCGUAGGGUCCGCACGCUUAAGGUUACGAUGACAGUUAUAUUAUGAGUUUAUACAUUUUGAUGUACCGAAGGUUGUUCGGAGUCCCGGAUGUGAUCACGGACAUGACGAGGAGUCUCGAAAUGGUCGAGACGUAAAGAUUGAUAUAUUGGAAGCCUAUAUUUGGAUAUCGGAAGUGUUCCGGGUGAAAUCGGGAUUUUACCGGAAUACCGGGAGGGUUACCGGAACCCCCCGGGAGCUAUUUGGGCCAUAGUGGGCCUUAGUGGAAAAGAGAAGGGGCUGCCCUAGAUGGGCUGCGCGCCCCCCCUUUCCCCUAGUCCUAUUAGGACUAGGAGAGGUGGCCGGCCCCCUCCUCCUCUUUUCCCCUCCGAGGAAUCCUAGUUGGACUAGGAUUGGAUGGGGAAUCCUACUCCCAGAGGGAGUAGGACUCUCCUGCGCCUCCCCCCCUUGGCCGGCCAGCCUUCCCUCCUCUCCUCCUUUAUAUACAGAGGCAGGGGCACCUCUAAACACACAAGUUGACACAAGUUGAUCCACGUGAUCUAUUCCUUAGCCGUGUGCGGUGCCCCCUGCCACCAUAUUCCUCGAUAAUACUGUAGCGGAGUUUAGGCGAAGCCCUGCUGCUAUAGUUCAUCAAGAUCGUCACCACGCCGUCGUGCUGACGAAACUCUUCCCCGACACUUUGCUGGAUCGGAGUCCGGGGAUCGUCAUCGAGCUGAACGUGUGCUCGAACUCGGAGGUGCCGUAGUUUCGGUGCUUGAUCGGUUGGACCGAGAAGACGUACGACUACUUCCUCUACGUCGUGUCAUCGCUUCCGCAGUCGGUCUGCGUUGGGUACGUAGACAAUACUCUCCCCUCGUUGCUAUGCAUCACAUGAUCCUGUGUGUGCGUAGGAAAAUUUUUGAAAUUACUACGAAACCCUUCACGUGGACCCCGAGGUAAACCCCGACGCCUUGCACGAGUAUCUCGCAUUGUGGACAUGGGUUGCCGGCAUUCCGCUGGAUCUGACGAGGCAGGAUGAAGUGGUUUGGUCCUGGGAGACGAACGACAUAUACACCACGCGAUCAGCCUACGCGGCAAAGUUUUGGGGAAGGGAGGUGGAUCAAAUGGCGGAAUUCACAUGGAAAGCUAGGGCUCCGCUACGGUGCCGAUUCUUUGCGUGGUUGGCCCUGCAGAAUAGAUGCUGGACAUCUGCCCGCCUGGCAAGGAGAGGCCUUGAUCACCAAGACAAUUGCCCGCUCUGCAACAAUGAGGAGGAAAGCAUCGAGCACCUAUUCAUCCGUUGUAUCUUCACCAGGCGGCUUUGGGCUGUGAUCUUCCAGGCCAUGGGCAAGCCAUGUUGGGUGCCCACGAUGAACGACACGCUCGCUGGUUGGUGCGCGGUCCAAAACACUAAUGAGACCCACAAGAGAGUGCUCAAUGCUCUUCGUGUUCUAGCCAUGUGGGAGAUUUGGAAACAUCACAAUGCAAUUGUGUUCGAGGGUGCUUAUCCAUCGGUGACCUAUGUGCUUCGUCGCUUUGCGGAGGAAGGCCGGAAUUGGAAACAAGCGGGUUUACUUAAGGGCGAUCUUGCCGGCUUCUUCAACCGGGUGGAAUGACGGGUGAGCACGACAAGUUAGCUUCUGAGAAAGUAGAAAGUAGGGUGGAGGUGGUAAGGCUGUACAUGUAAAUACCGUGUAACAACAUUGUGGAGGGCUCUUUCACCCCUUUCCUCUUAAUAUAUAUAGUACGCACACUCGUCCGUAUUUGAGAAAAAAAAGUUCCUAUCAUUUCUUCUUCUUGUGAUUUUUUCCUUUGGUCUUUUCAGUCGGGUUUCCUUUAAAAAAGAGGAGGGGGGAGGGACGUUAGCAAAUUAAAAGUUGUGAUUUUUGAAAAUGACAAAUUUUCAAAUAGAAAAUAAAAUAAAAGUGUUCACGAAUUUAAAUUUGUUAUUGUUUUUAUCACAAAUUUGGACAUUGCUAAUGAUUUUUAGAAAACUUCUUUUUUUUAGAAAAUUUCACUAAUUAAGAAAAUAUUCACAAAUUUUAAAAAUGUUUUUGGAUUUAGUAAGAAAAUGAGAAAUGAAAAAGAGAAAUACUGGCGGAAGAAAAAAAAGGAAAAUAUAGAAAGAAAAAUCGCAAGAGCACAUAGAAAACUGCAUCAUUUUUUAAGCAUUUAAGAUCUCCAUGUGCGUUUGCUGGCAAUUUGUUACAAUGGGCGUCAUAUAGGAAAUUCCGGGAAGCUAGGCCUUGGUGGCUCUUUCAGCGCCAUUACAUCGAAAUCACUAAUUAAGAAGCACUUUUUGCAAAUGCCACUCCCCCCUUUUCAGGUUGCGACAAGUGAUGUAUUACAUGUGUGCCACUUGUCGCAACUUGAGAGUUUCACUUUUUUUUGUAUAUCCAUUUAUUCAAAAUAUUUUAUCUCUUAAACUGUGCGUCGAAAUCUUGAACCAUUUUCAUCGUUGGAUUCCUCACGUCGAUAUCUUCACAACUAGAUCCCAUAUUGAUAGAUUUUGAUGGACUUUUUUCCCAUGAGAAAAACGCGAACAAAAAAAAACGUAAGAAAAAACCAAAAGAAAAAACCGAAUCGGGAGCACCUUUUCUUUCCUUUCCAAAAGAGAAAUGACGAUGCCUCUCACAGAAGCAAAUCCCAGCCUCCACGAGAAGUAAACCUGUGCCUCUCGUGAAAGGAAAAGAAAUAAAACAUGUUUUUUUUCGUUUCCGAUGCCUCUCGCGGAAGCAAAUCCGUACCUUUUGGGAAGCAAAACCGUGCCUCUCGCGGAAGGAAAAAAAUGUGUUUUCUUUCGUUUUGAGAGGCACACCCAUGCCUCUAGCGGAAGGAAAAAAGAAAUAAUACACGUUUUUCCCAUUUCUAAGAGGCACCACCGUGCCUCUCGCGGAAGGAAAAAAAAGAAAACAUAUUUUUUUCAUUUUCGAGAGGCACGGCUGUGCCUCUCGCGGAAGAAAAAAAAAGAAAAUGUGUUUUGACACAAAUUUUGUUUUCAAUUUUUUGCCAGAAGCUAAGGAAGACUGAUGGAUAACCGAAAAGCAGAAAAAAUUCAAAAAAGAAAAACGCGUGCAAAAAAAAAACUGGAAGGAGCGCCGAGAGCGUAACACGUGGCAACGGUUGAGAGCUCGCCAAGAGGAGGCCCCCGAACGAGUCUCCGAUGACAUCCAUUACAACAACUUACUCCUUGGUUUUGUUUUACUGGGAUUGCUGCUAUAACGUUUACAUAGGUCGGGUCACCGAGCUCUCUCUCGCUCAGCUUACCUCCGUGCUCCACUCACUCGCUUAGGUUUUUUCUGCUCACUCACUGCUAGCUCAUAAAAAGCCGGCUACCUUUUUUUAAUCUGAAAAACUUCGUUAAAUCAAAAAAUGUUCAUGAAUUUGAAGAUGGUCUUGGAUUUUGAUAAUUUGGUAAAUUAAAAAAUAUUCAUAGAUUUAAAAGAUGUUCAUAAAUCCAAAAUAAGACUGAAAAUUUAAGAAAAUGUAACAAAAUUAAAAUGUAUUCUUAAAUUUCACACCUUACCGACAGGCCUAGCGUUCCCACAACCCCAUGCUCUACGAGACUCCAAAUCUAAGGAGCUUAGACAGGCCCAACGUUCCCACAACCCCAUGCACCAGGAGACUCCAAAUCUAAAAAGCUUAGUAUUUAUAAUGUGUAUAUUUGAUUAAACUCUUGAAAUAGGCUUUCCCCCGUUUAUAAAUAUUUGACUAAACUUAAAAAUAGUUAACCUUUUUAUUGAAUUUAUUUAUACACCAUCUGUUUGGAACGGAGGGAGUACUGUACUUGGCCUUGCAACCAAGCAUGCGAGCACAUUCACGUUGACCAAACCUACGUCCGUGCAUGCAUGUGUCUCAAAAAAGCGUAAAAGGGAAAUCACGAGCGAGCUAGCUGAUGAGUGAGCCAGCUGAUCAUGUAGAGUGGGGUAAAAGUAGGACCUGCAAGCGCAUGAGGCGGUCGGCGCUGUGCUUGAGCUGGUGCCGGCGGCUGGAGUAGUCGCGGCGCGCGUCGUCGACGUCGUCCAGGGCGCCUCCGCCGGCAGCGGGGUCGAACUCCCAGACCUGGCGGCCGGCGUGCGCGUUGGUGGUGCGCAGCCACGGCUGGCCGCCGGCCUCCUCCCCGAUCCUUAGCCGCCACAUCGAUCGACGUCGACUCAAACCAGUGGCUCUUCUUACAGCAGGGCAAGUGAGUGAGACGAGAGAAGAUACCAAAACGGCCCGUGUUUAAAUAGGGCGCUUAUAGGCGCCGGCGCAGCCCAGGCCAUCGGAUGUGAGCCAGGCGGCCGUUGGAUCCAGGCNNNNNNNNNNNNNNNNNNNNNNNNNNNNNNNNNNNNNNNNNNNNNNNNNNNNNNNNNNNNNNNNNNNNNNNNNNNNNNNNNNNNNNNNNNNNNNNNNNNNNNNNNNNNNNNNNNNNNNNNNNNNNNNNNNNNNNNNNNNNNNNNNNNNNNNNNNNNNNNNNNNNNNNNNNNNNNNNNNNNNNNNNNNNNNNNNNNNNNNNNNNNNNNNNNNNNNNNNNNNNNNNNNNNNNNNNNNNNNNNNNNNNNNNNNNNNNNNNNNNNNNNNNNNNNNNNNNNNNNNNNNNNNNNNNNNNNNNNNNNNNNNNNNNNNNNNNNCCAGCUUCUUCUUCCUCGGCAGCCGGGCUGGAUCCGCAUCUCCCGCUCGGGGAGCACGACACCGCACCUCCUGUCCCCUUCGGUGGUCGUCCCCGUCGUCAGUCCCCACCCUCGCCGGUCUUCCUCGUCGCCCACCGGACCCCGCCCUCGCCGGCCGUCAUUGUCAACGGUCCCCCACCCUCCCGGCCUCGUUCUCGCCUCGACCAAUGCACCAGCUCUACCUACGGUAGCAGCUCUUGACGAUGAAGAUUGUAGCUCCGCCGCCCUCGCCAUUGAUGCUCGCUGCAGGAAAAAUACGUCGACGGCCGCCAUGAGUCAAUCAACACCAUUUGAAUGGAUGUAGCAAAAAAUUUCACCGAUAGUAGCAAAAUCAAACUACGGGUGCAGCAAAACGCCGUCGCCACCUUCGCGAGGUCGCAGCUCCGCCUUACAUGGAUGUAGCAAAAACCUCCAACGGUAGUAGCAAACUACGGUUGCAGCAAAAAAAUCAUUGUCGUCCUCGCGAGGUCGCAGCUCUGCCUGAUGGAUGUAGCAAAAAGCUUUGCCGGUAGUAGCAAAAUCCAACAACGGUUGCAGCUUUCCCUUGGUGUGCAGUGCCAUUGAAGCUUUCUAUGUCUAUGGUUGAAGCUUUUUUCAACGGCUGUUGAAGCUUUUCUAGAUGACGGUUGCAACACUUGUAUACGCGGGAGGAUCCGGGUAUGGCUGCAGGCAGCCAUGGCGGUCGGCGAGGGAGCGCUUGGCCGCCGGCGAUGGAGCUUGUGGUGGCCCAAACACAGCCCGAGAGGAGGGGGGAGGGGAUGCACGCGCGUGAAAACUGUAGGUAGGGGGUGGACGUGUCGUGCGCGUGGGGAAAUCACCGGCCGCGCAGUGGACGGCGGCCUCGCCGGGGAGAUUGGGCUGCCGCAGGUAGAGGGUCGAUGCGGGGGGUAGACGGCGGCCUUGCCGGUGAGAUUGGGCUGCAGCGGGGUAGGAGCGCGAUGCGGGGGUGGACGGCGGCCUCGCCUGCGAAAUUGGGCUGCAGCAGAUGGAGUGCGGAUGCAGGUCUCAUUGACACAGGAGCACGGGGUAGCGGGCGACCGGCCGAAGCUUCGGCCGGCGCACCAUCUCCAAACGUUUCCCGUUUAAAUAGCUAGGAGAGCGAAAUGACAUUUCCACUGCAAAACCAUUACCACAAGGGUUACUAGAAAGGACAAACAAUCGUCUAUAUCUAUAUCUAUACCAAUAUAAAAAGAUUUAAAUGAAUAAAUCCAAUUAAUCUCGGCCAUCAAAUCAUGUCAAUCCAAUAACCUAGACUGCUUCAAUGUUGAGCGCUCAACACGUUUAGCGUGCAGUUAAUUUCAUGCCAAAUAUAAUACUAACCACAUAAUAACAUGCAUAUAAUAUUUUAUUUAAUAUCCGCAUGCAUUUAAUAUACUUUAAAAUUAAUAUGCAUUGCGCGCAUACAUUAACUAGUCUAAAAAAAAGCACAAAAGUAACGACAAGGAAGCGUCUGCAAGCGUUACGGAACUUAAGCUCCUGCACGUGGUGAAGCAGCUAAAUCACGCGGCAAAAGGUGUCGUGUCAAAUUGGUCCUUGUCAUCGAGCCUGCGUGCUCGUUGGUUCUUCCCCUUUGUUGUCUGUGGCCUUCAGCACGUUUUACUUUUUUUCAUUGUAAGACUUUGUCAUCUACUUUCUCCGUCUUAUAAUAUAAAACUUUUUGCAAGCUACAUUAGCAUAGAAUUUUUGUCUAGCCACUCGCUCCGCGAAAAAGAUCUGACCUGCGCCGCUCCCGGGCGGCAUCGGUGGUGGACUGGCUGCACCACGGCCGACCGCGUCUACCCUUCUUUUCCUCUCGUUGUCACCGAAGGAGGCUGUCAGCCGAAGGCCGCACGGCGGAAGGUGGCGAUGGGAUUUCUCCCAGUGGUCUGGUGGCCGCUAGUGCAAUCCGCAUGUGGGAUAGUGGCUCCAGUGGUGGACCUAAAAUACCAGCCUUGGGGGUGCCACAGUUCAAAAAUCACGCUAAAUAUUACUCCCUCCAUUUCUAAAUAUAGGGUGUAUAGAUUUUGGCUGGAAAAUUAAAAACGCACGUGGAGGAAAAAAUUCACAAAUUUUGGGUGGGAUUACAACUUACUAAUUGGCAUGAGAAAAUAGAGGAGCUUGCCUGAUAUAAGAAUAUGUAAUCAAAUCCAUAAAAAACCUAUUCAAACGAGUGGUGCAACGCAAUACACCUUAUAUUUUGAAUUAUUUCUCAAAAGUCUAUACACCUUAUAUUAAGGAAUGGAAGGAGUAUCAUAAUCUCAACAAAUAGGUCUAAAAUUGCAUCAAUUUCAUAGAUAUUUAGUGUUACAUAAAUAGUAAAAUUUAUUUUACAGUUUUGGAGGGGCUGCCAUGGCACCCAUUCUUCAGACCCAAAAGAAAUUGUGUCACCAGCAACAGUCCUCCUACAUUCAGAUCAUACAAUUUGACCUAGCGGAGCGUCGAACCGAAACUAACGUCAAGUACGAGUUAUUAAGCGCCGAAUCAAAAAAAGUGUACUUCCUUUACGCUUGAUGUAGGAUUUACCUAUUAAUAUGAAGUUCACUCUUCUGCUGACUUGAGUCCAGAAGGGAAGCGACUGAUUUCCAAGAUUUUUAUCUUACCUAAUUCUAUCUACGCCCAGGGGGUAGGUACGUCGCAAGCUCUGGGCAGCUAUCUUAUUCCAAAGAAUAUAGCUCCCUAAAAGGUUGCCGAUACCAUACCUCUAUUGAACCCUACUGGAUCCAAUUGUUUAAGAGCAUCCCUACAAGAUCCGCCGCUGAGUGUCUCCUUGGCUGAUGUGUUAGAUGGAGUCCUGUGGAGCCACUGGACCUGGCGGGCUUGGAGAGGUCGUGGACCGGCUUCGAUCCGGCGUGGCCCGGAGGCCAGUUGUGAGUUGUGAGUUGUGACCGUUGUGUGCUUCUGAUCUAGCGGCGCAUGCGCGGAGAUCGAGCGGACAUAGGAUGGACGGUGCCGGAACAACUUCAUUGCUGGCUUCACUGACCGGUCGCGUCUGCUCUAGGCCGGCAUGAAUGCGGCGCGGAGAGUGGAGGUGCGGUCACGUGGGAGAUGGUUUUAGGUGAGACCAGGUUGUUAGACACGUACGUGGCGGUUGUCGUGGUUAUAAGACUGACAGUAGAAAGGGGGGUAGGUAUAGAGAGGCAAGAUCCCAGCUAUGGUGAAGGUGUACACACAAGAUUUACGAGUUCAGGCCCUUCGCGGAGGAAGUAAUAGCCCUACGUCUCGGUGCCGGGAGGCGGUCGACUGGAUUAUAUGUUUGUGAUGUUACAGGGGGUGCCAACCCUUGUCUCAGAGGAGGGGAGUGGCUUAUAUAGAGUGCGCCAGGACCCCAGCCAUCCUUCAUUACAAGGGACUUAAUGUACAUAAAGUAGGGGCGUUACUGAUAACGCCAGCCUUAAGAGUUAUUAAUGAUCUUAAAGACUACGGAGUGAAUGUCCGAUCGAAGCAGUGCUGAGUGACUCGUGGCCUUCAAUAGGUCGAGUGAUUCUUCAUAUGGUCGAGUGACAACAGGCAAGGGGACACCCGAGUGAUAUAACUGGUCGAGUGGAUUGCACUCGACAUCUUUGACCGGGGGUUCUUUGCUGCCUCUUGAACAUCUUAUCUUCUAGGGUAGUGACCUUGAGUAGGACGUAUAGGUCAGGCCUAUGACCCUAUCCCAGGUCUGUAUCCUCAUCAUUAGCCCCUGAAUGGAUUGAGAUUCGAAUGGAAAGUAGGCUGAAGUUAAUCUUGUUGCGAGCUUCGCGUCUCGCGAGUGUUUUACGCAGGACGGAAGGCUCACGUUGGUACUUCAGCAUUGAUUCAGUCACCUUGAUCCAUUCAGAGAGUUGCCGACUGAACUUGUUGUAUCGUCUGCCGAGUGCUGUCUUGGGGUGCAGAAUCUUUGACGCGAUUGAUAGCAGUGUAUCCCAGAUUUCACGGGAUAUGAAAUUUCGGGGAAGCGCGCGGGACGGGGCGCGCCGAAGUAAGUGGGGUGGAUAAACAGUAGUGCCUCAAUUUCUGCGCCACCUUUUUCGCCACGUACGUUGCACGCGACUAUUGCAGGAUUUGACAGGAUUACCUGGUCCCAUGCGUCAGCCACUCGGGAGCAGCCCUUUAUAAGGCGAUGGGGCCGAGGCGUCUGCACUGUGCACACCCGUUUCUCUUUCUUCUUCCUCUGCUUCUUCACCGCAUCUAGUUCUUCUGCUCUCGACGCUGCCGCUCUGCCGCCAUGGUGAAGGACAAGACGACGGCGCUGGAGCAUGCGAAGAAGGCAACGGGGGCGGCGAAAGGCAAGAAGCAGAACCGUGGGUCGUCAUCGCGCGCGGGGCUGCCACCAGGCUGGAUCCAGGGCGAUUGGAUCCGGUCUUCGCUCCGGCAAGAAGAUCCGGAUGAGCUGGCGGAGUACGGGCUGAUCGCCAAGGGUGCAGCAAGGCUGCCUGAGGGGGAGACGGAGCCGCAGCCUCGACCGGGUGAGUGUGCACUGCUCGCCACCCAUGUCGACCGGGGUUUUUCGCUCCCUCCGCACCCCUUCUUCUGGGGCUUCCUGAACUUCUUCGGUGCCCAACUCCACCAUUUUCCCUCCAAUACCAUCAUGUACCUUGCCGCGUUCGUGUCGAUGUGUGAAAACUUUUUGGGGUGUCGACCGCACUGGGGUCUUUUCAAACAUAUUUUCACCAUCCGUUCCCAGUCGAUGAAGAAAGCAAAAACGAAUGACUCGAAGACCCAUGUCAUCCAGAUGUGUGGGGGUUUGGGUAUCCAAAAGAAGCAGAGGAGUUCUUUCCCUGCCAUGACUCUCCUUGAAUUGGUUAUAGGUUGGCAGUCGACCUGGUUCUACUGCCAGGACCUCGCAACUCCAGGUCAGUCGACUGGUCUUCCCCACUUCACUUUUGACCGUGUCCAGACUCCUUCUCCACUGAAAGUAACUGCUGCUGAGAACGUGGAGAUGAAGAUGUUGGUUGAGAAAGUGGUCCAACUGAUCAAUGAGGUUGUCACUGUCAUGAACCUGCUGGAAGUAUUCCUCAGUCGAUGCAUCCAGCCUCUUCAGGCCCGUGAGCAUCCCAUGUGGCUGUACUCUGGGUCCGACGACACCGCUCGUGUUCAUCCAGAGGAAGUGCCAGCCAAGAAUGUGGCCAUUUGGUUGAAGAGCAUUACAGAGGAGCCAGGCGAGUCAUCCCCUUCAGUGACGACAAUCAUCCCAACAAGGUAUGUUCUUUAUUCCAACUGUCUUUGCAUAUGCAUUCCGACUGUACUUGAUGUCGACUGACUUUUACUCGACUUUUUGUCUUGUAGGUUUUCACUGACAUGUACUCGAUGCCCAACAGUGAACAAGCUCUGGAGAAGGACCAGGAGGGAGAGGCCAGCGUGGAGGAGAGUGGUGAAUGGGAAUCUUCGGAUGAAGACGAGGAGGAGGAGAGCGAGGAGUCAAACGAGGAGGAAGAAGUCGACUUGCCGCCGCGCUCCGAACGCCGAUCCAAGCAACACCAUGACCCGGCGGGCGGGCACGGAAAGAACGUGGCUCCAAGUACCCACACGCAGAAGCGCACUCGGACAUCGACUCCGGAACCGAUAGAGAAGGUCUCCAAGUAGCCCAAGGUUGCUCCUCCAAAGACUCAGAAGACUUUGCCGCGGAUCAAGAUGGACGUCCCUGUUGCUUCGGGGUGAGUAUCUUGCUUGCAUUUAUCUAGGCCGACUGAAGUUUUUGUUAUGACCAAACGGAUCAUGUAUCUUUCUAGCCCAACCUCUGCUGCAACUGACAUGGAUAUCGACAAAGCUCCAGGAGACGAGGAGUCCGACGAUGCGGCCACUUCCCGAGCUGGUAAGUCCGUUCGACCAGGCUUCAUUUGGUCAAGUGGGUUGUCAGUCGGCUGAAUUUCCAAUGUUUCUCUCUCACUGCAGUUCCGCGAGAGGUCAUCGUGCUUCCUGAUGAUGAUGAAGAAGAAGUGCCUCUACAGGAGAGAGGAGGAGAGGUGGGGGCUCGAGUAGGAGAAAGCUUGAAGUUCAAGCCCCUCAGUCGAUGCCGGCACUUGAAGCGGUGGUCGAGCGUUCCGGAGAUCCGGUUCGGACCAACGUCACAUUUGCCAGCCCGUUGACGAUUGAUCGUCCGUCGGGGUCGACUGCUCCGGUUACUGCUGCUCCAGUGCAACUCCACUUGUCUGACCCAGUAGCUGCUUCGGCCGCCUUGGAGCCAUCACUCUUCGCUGCAUAUCAGACCCCAAACGAUUCGCCAAGUGCUGUCAGGGAGGCUCUUCGCCAGGUGAACCUUAUCAUGGAGCAGGUGAAGGUGAUGCAUGAGGUCAGUCAGGUGGCUUAUAACGCCAGCACCGCCCUGCAGACCAAUGUUAAGGUCAGCGAACUCCGACUGAACUUUUGAAUGCUGUUUUAUAUCCGGUCACCCACUGGGAUGUGCUUGUGUUUAGAGUUUAGGAAAUCUUCCACGUCACUAGACUCAUGCUGAGUCUUAGUAAUAUGUCCGGACCAGUGGGGGCAUGCCGAGUGCACCCACUGGGUGUAGUCCCCGAGACCAAGGUCGACUGCUGGCAGUCGGCUGAGGUCUUAGAAUCUUCUCUUUUUUUGGACUCACGCUGGGCAGACCAUGCUGAGUGUUGAUCUAAACUAGUGGGGGCACGAUCAGUGCACCCACUGGGUGUAGUCCCCUAGACUACUGUUGAAUAUUUGAUUCGACAGUAGUCUUAGAGUAACUUUUCACUGUCAUUGUCUCUUAUUUCUGUCGACUGAUAUAUCUCUCUUGCUGACUGCAGAGGUCUUGUGAUCUUGGAGCUCGGCUUUCCGAGUUAAAGAAGAAGCAUAUCAGCAUUGAACUUGAUCUUGAACUCGCAAAGAAGAACCUCAAGACUGCUCAAGAAGAAACGACCAUCAUGGGAGGUAACCAAUCGACUCUUGCCCACCUAGUAGCUCGCGUCUUUCACUGUUUUUUUAUUUCAGUCACUUUGAACCGAGUGACUUCACACAAGCAGAUGUGCGUAGUGAAAACCGUCAACUUCAGGCUCGUCUGAAGAGUGUUGUUUCUUUAGAGAGAAUGAAGGAAGCCUUGGAGAAGAAGGACCAGGACCUUGCUGCUGCUCAGAAGGAAGCACGUGAGAAGACAACGCUUGCGGACAAGAAGCUGGCUUCAGUCGGCAAGUUGGAAUAGGAGAACGCGAAGCUGAAGACCGCCAUCUCGGAAGCAAAUCGGGAAGUCGAGCAACUAAAGAAGGACAAGGAGAACCCGACCAACGAAGUUGGAGGCCUCAGAGCCAAGACAGGCAAGCUAGAGUCCUAUCUGGGACAACUUGCCACGAAACUAGUUCUGAAGCUUGAAGGUACAUCUGCUCGACUGGUUAAUUAUCGUCGAUUGAAGUAUGUUUGUAAUAUUGUCGACUCACUAUUUUUCGUGAUGGAGCAGAACUUUGUCAGGAUUUUGAAGCUGAAACCGGGCGGGUCGAGACAGGUCUCGACCCCAUCAAUUGCCCUGUGAAAGAUGAUGUUGCGAUGAACUUGUUGCGGUUGGAAUCACACUUGGACGGCGCCGUUGCCUAUCUGGCUCGACUGAAGGCGGCGAUGACCCGGGUGGACGUCGAACUCUGGCCUCAUGCGGAACUUUCUCAAGACCUCGAGUCGCUGAUGACUCGACUCAAUCAGAUUCCUGGUCGAGUGCAGGAGUGGAAGAAGUCAUCCGCUUGAUGUGGCGCUGACGUCGCCCUGUCAUUGGUUCGAGUGCACUGCAAGGAGGCCAGAGAAGACAAGUUGGCGGCCCUCAAGGUUGUGAAUACUAAGAAGCACACCUUCCAGUCCUUCAUGGACACCUUCCUUGAAGCAACCACUCGUAUUGCUGACAUCAUUGACCUCGACAACUUCUGCGAUCCAGCCAGCCCUUCUCCGGCCGGGUGAUCAAAAAAACAUUAUGCUUCACCCUCAUUUGCCUCGGAAUGCCGAGUGAUUUUGUAAUCGUUGAAACUCCUUCGGGCCUGACGCCCGAGUAUUUUAAUCCGCGGUUAAAAACCUUUGGAUUUAUCUGAACUUGGCUUAUCUUUGAAUAUGUUGUGUUUAUCUUCGAGCGGAACUCGUUCUUCCCUCGGAUUGGUUUUUGUACUCUCGAUGCAGCUUCUAAGGAAGAGGCCACAGUCGACCUGUUGGACGAGCCUUGAGCAGCAUUGAUCAGCUCAUCAGUGAGGCACUUGGCAAUGGCCUUGACAUUCCUGAAAGCAGUUCGUCUCGGCACUAGCUGUUGGAUAAUCCUUUGGCGGCAUUGAUCAGCUCAUCAGCGAGACAUUCAGCAAUGGUCUUGAUGUUCCUGAAAGCAGCUCGCCUUGGCGUGAGCUGUUGGAUGAGCCUUUGGCAGUGCGCACAAUCUCGUCCUUCUUCUUGACGGUGCAGCCCCGGGGGGAGGGGUCGUGGCCGACCCGUACCAUUCGAUUGGGUUUUUCAAACUUAGGCGAGUGCUGGACUGCAGCUAAGCCCCCGAGUGAGAGGAUUGCUCGCCACUCGGUAGGAUUUUUUAUACUUAGGCGAGUACUGGACUGCAGCUAAGCCCCCGAGUGAGAGGAUUGCUCGCCACUCGGUAGGAUNNNNNNNNNNNNNNNNNNNNNNNNNNNNNNNNNNNNNNNNNNNNNNNNNNNNNNNNNNNNNNNNNNNNNNNNNNNNNNNNNNNNNNNNNNNNNNNNNNNNNNNNNNNNNNNNNNNNNNNNNNNNNNNNNNNNNNNNNNNNNNNNNNNNNNNNNNNNNNNNNNNNNNNNNNNNNNNNNNNNNNNNNNNNNNNNNNNNNNNNNNNNNNNNNNNNNNNNNNNNNNNNNNNNNNNNNNNNNNNNNNNNNNNNNNNNNNNNNNNNNNNNNNNNNNNNNNNNNNNNNNNNNNNNNNNNNNNNNNNNNNNNNNNNNNNNNNNNNNNNNNNNNNNNNNNNNNNNNNNNNNNNNNNNNNNNNNNNNNNNNNNNNNNNNNNNNNNNNNNNNNNNNNNNNNNNNNNNNNNNNNNNNNNGACAGUGCAGCCCUGGGGGGAGGGGUCGUGGUCGACCCGCACCGUUCGGUGGGAUCUUUCAAACUUAGGCGAGUACUGGACUGCAACUAAGCCCCCAAGUGAGAGGCUGGCUCACCACUCGGUAGGAUUUUUUAUACUUAGGCGAGUACUGGACUGCAGCUAAGCCCCUGAGUGAGAGGCUGGCUCGCCACUCGGUAGGAUUUUUCAACACUUAGGCGAGUACUGGACUGCAACUAAGCCUCCAAGCGGGAGGCUGGCUCACCACUUGGUAGGAUUUUUCAACACUUAGGCGAGUAGUGGACUGUAGCUAAGCCUCCGAGUGGGAGGCUGGUUCACAACUCGGUAGGAUUUUUCAAACUUAGGCGAAAUGGAUUCACAACUAAGCCCCCGAGUGAGAGGUUGGCUCACCACUUGGUAGGAUUUUUCCUUUCAACUUAGGCGAAACGGAUUCGCAGCUAAGGCACCCACUGGGGGAUUUUAGAACAUGUAGAAAAUGAACAACAAUCAUUCGGAAGACUGUAAAAUCAUGUCUUUGAUAAUCAAACUAAAAGGUAUUUUUUUAUUACAUCUCAACAGUAUGAAUGCUUAAGAGUAAAAGGGGCGGAGCAGUUCCGCAUUCCAAGCGCGUGGCUCAUCUUUAUUGUGCUCGACGUUGAAAAGACGAUAUGCUCCGUUGUGGAGCACUUUGGUGACGACAAAGGGGCCUUCCCAAGCAGGAGCGAGCUUGUGUGGUUUCUGCUGGUCCACUCGAAGAACCAAGUCUCCCUCCUGAAAUACCUGACCCCUUACGUUUCUGGCAUGGAAUCGAUGCAGGUCUUGUUGAUAAAUGGUCGACCGAAUCAAGGCCAUCUCUCUUUCUUCUACCAGGAGAUCAACUGCAUCUUGCCGAGCCUGUUCCGCUUCUUCUUCUGAGAAGAGCUCGACUCGGGGCGCAUUGUGGAGCAUAUCACUCGGGAGUACGGCUUCAGCUCCGUAAACUAAGAAGAAUGGAGUUCGUCCAGUUGACCGAUUAGGAGUUGUCCUCAAUCCCCAAAGUACUGAUGGAAGUUCAUCGACCCAGGCACCUGCUGCAUGCUUGAGGUCACACAUCAAUCGGGUUUUUCAGUCUUUUGAGAAUCAAUCCAUUUGCUCUUUCAGCCUGCCCAUUCAACUGAGGAUGGGCAACUGAAGCGUAAUCGACCCUCGUGCCUUGGGAAGCACAAAAGGCUCUGAACUCGUCAGAGUCGAAGUUCAACCCGUUAUCCGUGAUGAUGUUGUGCAGAAAACCAUAUCUGAAUAUCAAUUCUCUGAUGAAACUUACAGAUGUACUUGCUUCAAGGUUUUUAAUGGGCUUGGCUUCGAUCCAUUUGGUAAACUUGUCGACUGCUACUAACACAUGGGUAAAUCCACUCCUGCCAGUCCUCAGAGGUCCAACCAUAUCCAAUCCCCAGACAGCGAAAGGCCAGACGAGUGGAAUAGUCUUCAGAGCUGAUGCAGGCUUAUGGGAGAUGUUGGAGUAAAACUGAUAGCCUUCACAUUUGUCUACUAUUUCUUUCGCCAUCUCGUUGGCAUGCGGCCAGUAAAAUCCGGCUCGGUAUGCUUUGGACACGAUGGUCCGAGAGGAUGCAUGAUGACCACAGGUCCUCGAGUGAAUAUCAUUGAGGAUCAUUCAGCCUUCUUCUGGCGUGGUGCAUUGAUAACCCACAAGUAUAGGGGAUAGUUGUAGCCUCUUUCGAUAAGUAAGAGUGUCGAACUCAACGAGGAGCUAAAGGUAGAAUAAAUAUUCCCUCAAGUUCUAUCAACCACCGAUACAACUCUACGCACGCUUGACGUUCGCUUUACCUAGAACAAGUAUGAAACUAGAAGUACUUUGUAGGUGUGAAAGGCUAGGUUUGCAAGAGAAUAAAGAGCACGUAAAUAAAAACUAGGGGCUGUUUAGAUAAAGAUGCAAAUAAAAGUAAAUAUAGCGAGUGUGGAAAAGUGGUGGUAGGAGUUGUGGAAUUGUCCCUAGGCAAUUGACUAUGUUACUAGACUGGUAAUCACUAUUGCAAUUCUAUUUGAGGGAGAGGCAUAAGCUAACAUACUUUCUCUACUUGGAUCAUAUGCACUUAUGAUUGGAACUCUAGCAAGCAUCCGUAACUACUAAAGAUUCAUUAAGGUAAAAACCAACCAUAGCAUUAAAGUAUCAAGUCCCCUUUUAUCCCAUACGCAAACAACCUACUUACUCGGGUCUGUGCUUCUGUCACUCACGCCACCCACCAUAAGCAAAUCAUAAACAUAUUGCAAACCCUACAGCAGGAAUCCCUCACGCUUGCGCGACACGGAGAGCACCAUAGGACAACACCAAUAAUAAAACAUGAAACUCAAACCAAUUAUAGCAAUUCAUCAAUCACCGAUAGGACAAUAGAAAUCUACUCAGACAUCAUAGGAUGGCAACACAUCAUUGCAUAAUAAUAUGAAGCAUAAAGCACCAUGUUCAAGUAGAGGGUACAGCGGGUUGCGGGAGAGUGGACCGCUGGAUAUAGAAGGGGAAGGUGAUGGAGAUGUUGGUGAAGAUGAUGGCGGUGUUGGUGAAGAUCACGGUGAUGAUGAUGGCCCCCGGCAGCGCUCCGGCGCCACCGGAAGCAAGGGGGAGAGAGGCCUCCUUCUUCUUCUUCUUCCUUGACCUCCUCCCUAGAUGGGAGAAGGGUUUCCCCUCUGGUCCUUGGCUCCCAUGGCUUGGGAGGGGCGAGAGCCCCUCCGAGAUUGGAUCUAUCUCUCUGUUCCUGCGUUCCCUGAUUCUACCCCUUCACCGUUUCCUUUAUAUCUGGAGAUCCGUAACUCUGAUUGGGGUGAAUCUUUCGCCCAGAUCUUUCUCAUAAAAUUAGCUUUCUUGCAUCAAAAGAAGAGCGUCAACCGCCUUACGGGUGGACCACGAGGGUCAGGGGCACGCCUGGGGGGUAGGGCGCGCCCCCUACCUCGUGACCACCCCGGACACCGUUUCACGUUGAUUUCACUUCCCAAAAAUCAUAAAUAUUCCAAAAAAAACCUCCGUCCGUUUUUAUCCCGUUUUGACUCCGUUUGAUAUUGGGUUUCUGCGAAACAAAAAACAUGCAACAGACAGGAACUGGCACUGGGCACUGGAUCAAUAAGUUAGUCCCAAAAAUAAUAUAAAAAGUUGCCAAAAAGUAUAUGAAAGUUGAAUAAUAUUGGCAUGGAACAAUCAAAAAUUAUAGAUACGACGGAGAUGUAUGAGCAUCCCCAAGCUUAAUUCCUGCUCGUCCUCGAGUAGGUAAAUGAUAAAAAAGAUAAUUUUUGAUGUGGAAUGCUACCUAGCAUAAUCUUGAUCAUAUGUCUAAUCAUGGCAUGAAUAUUAAGACACGAGUGAUUCAAAGCAAUAGUCUAUCAUUUGACAUAAAAAUAAUAAUACUUCGAGCGUACCAAUAAAGCAAUCAUGUCUUUUCAAAACAACAUGGCCAAAGAAAGUUAUCCCUACAAAAUCAUAUAGUCUGGCUGUUGCUCUAUCUUCAUCACACAAAGUAUUUAAUCAUGCACAACCCCGAUGACAAGCCAAGCAAUUGUUUCAUACUUUAAUAAUCUCAAACUUUUUCAACUUUCACGCAAUACAUGAGCGUGAGCCAUGGAUAUAACACUAUAGGUGGAAUAGAAUAUGAUGGUGGGGGUUAUGUGGAGAAGACAAAAAGGGAGAAAGUCUCACAUCGACUAGGCGUAUCAACGGGCUAUGGGGAUGCCCAUCAAUAGAUAUCAAUGUGAGUGAGUAGGGAUUGCCAUGCAACGGAUGCACUAGAGCUAUAAGUGUAUGAAAGCUCAAACUGAAACUAAGUGGGUGUGCAUCCAACUUGCUUGCUCAUGAAGACCUCGGGCAUUUGAGGAAGCCCAUCGGAAUAUACAAGCCAAGUUCUAUAAUGAAAAUUCCCACUAGUAUAUGAAGGUGAAAGCAUAGGAGGCUCUCUCUACGAAGAACAUGGUGCUACUCAAAAGCACAAGUGUGGUAAAAGGAUAGUAACAUUGCCCCUUCUCUCUUUUUAUCUAAUUUUUUUUAUUUUUUUAUUUUUUUGGUGGGCUUCUUUGGCCUCUUUUUUAUAUUUGGGCUUCUUUGGCCUCUUUUAUUUUUCAUAAAGUCCGGAGUCUCAUCCCGACUUGUGGGGGAAUCAUAGUCUCCAUCAUCCUUUCCUCACUGGGGCAAUGCUCUAAUAAUGAUGAUCAUCACACUUUUAUUUACUUACAACUCAAUAUCUAGAACAAAGAUAUGACUCUAUAUGAAUGCCUCCGGCGGUGUACCGGGAUGUGCAAUGAUCUAGCAUAACAAUGACAUAAAAAAACGGACAAGCCAUGAAAACAUCAUGCUAGCUAUCUUACGAUCAUGCAAAGCAAUAUGACAAUGAAAAUCUCAAGCUAUGGAUAUGAUGAUGAUGAUGAAAGUUGCAUGGCAAUAUAUCUCGGAAUGGCUACGGAAAUGCCAUGAUAGGUAGGUAUGGUGGCUGUUUUGAGGAAGAUAUAAUGAGGCUUAUGUGUGAUAGAGCGUAUCGUAUCACGAGGUUUGGAUGCACUGGCGAAGUUUGCACCAACUCUCAAGGUGAGAAAGGGCAAUGCACGGUACUGAAGAUGCUAGCAAUGAUGGAAGGGUGAGAGUGCGUAUAAUCCAUGGACUCAACAUUAGUCAUAAAGAACUCAUAUAAUUAUUGCAAAAAUCUACAAGCCAUUGAAAACAAAGUACUACGCGCAUGCUCCUAGGGGGAUAGAUUGGUAGGAAAAGACCAUCGCUCGUCCCCGACCGCCACUCAUAAGGAAGACAAUCAAUAAAUAAAAUUGUGCUCCAAUUUCAUCACAAAGCGGUUCACCAUACGCGCAUGCUACGGGAAUCACAAACCUCAACACAAGUGUCUCUACAAUCCACAACCACCCACUAGCAUGACUCUAAUAUCACCACCUUUAUAUCGCAAAACUAUUGCAAGGAAUCAAACAUAUCAUAUUCAGCGAUCUACAAGUUUAUGUAGGAUUUUAUGACUAACCAUGUGAAUGACCAAUUCCUAUCAUCUCUCGAAAUAGAUAUAAGUGAAGCAAGAGAGUUUAAUUAUUUCUACAAAAGAUAUGCCCACGCUCUAACAAAUAUAAGUGAAGCAAAAGAGCAUUCUACAAAUGGCGGUUUUCUAUGUGAAGAGAAACAUGCAAUCCAGACUUCAAAUGAUAUAAGUGAAGCGCAUGAAGCAUUCUAUAAAGCCAUACUCAAAAGAUUUAAGUGAAGUGCAAUGAGCAUUCUAUAAAUCAACCAAGGACUAUCUCAUACCAGCAUGGUGCAUAAAGGAAAAAAUGAAAACUAAAUUGCAAAAGACGCUCCAAGACUUGCACAUAAUGCAUGAACGAAACGAAUCCGAAAACAUACUGAUACUUGUUGAAGAAAGAGGGGAUGCCUCCCCAGCAUCCCCAAGCUUAUACGCUUGAGUCUCCUUGAAUAUUUACUUGGAGUGCCUCGGGCAUCCCCAAGCUUGAGCUCUUGCCUCUCUUCCUUCUUCUCACAUCGAAACAUCCUCGAUUAGACACUACAUCCACACAAAACUUCAACAGAAAACUCGGUAAGAUCUGUUAGUAUAAUAAAUCAAAUCACCAAUCUAAGUACUAUAGAAAACCAAUUCAUAUUUUGCUUUUUCAUUGUGUCUACUGUAAUAUAACUUUUCCAUGGCUUAAUCCACUGAUAUAAAUUGAUAGAUUCAUCAAAACAAGCAAACUAUGCAUCAAAAACAGAAUCUGUCAAAAACAGAACAGUCUGUAACAAUCUGAACAUCCACCAUACUUCUUCUACCCCUUAAAAUUCUACCAAAAUUAGGAAAAAUAAACAAGUUGUAUAGCAACACAGUACAAAAGGAAUCAGAACCGUUUGACUUUCCAGUUAAAAAUGUAAAAUCGCGCACUACAGCCAAAGUUUCUGUCCUGCACCGUACAAACCAACAAGCAUUGUAAACAUCCUAAAGGCAAACCUUAGCACAUUAUUUUUAUAAUACAAUGGAAUUGUACAAGGGGAUAAUUAUUUUUGUUGAAAAGUUUCUGUAAUCAAGAUUCACAAAGUUUCCAUGAGCAUGAACAAAGUUCAAGGAGCUCUCCCACUUCAACAAUGCUUGUCUUUCUCACUUUUACUUUCCUUUUUGAAAAGUUUUUAGGUUCCCCUGUUUAUUUUUGUGUUUUUAAACUAUAUAAAAGCACUCAACAGAAAUAAAUGACUCUCUAAAACUUCCGGGUUGUCUCCCUGGCAGCGCUUUCUUUAAAGCCAUUAAGCUAGGCAUUUAGUGCUCAAGUAGUGAAUCCACCCGGAUCCCAAGGUAUAUCAAAGCCAAUUUUAAUUAACAAUGAUUUGUAAUUUAGUAGUGAGCACAAAGUAACAUAAAUCAUGUAAUGAUGAAGUCUAACUCUCUUCCUAUGCAUCGGCAUGUCAUAAAAGAACAAUUCAUGCACACCAAGUAAAGGCCAAUGCAUAAUAUAAGCAGUUUCUUGCAAUUUUAUCGUGUGGGAAACAUAGAGAGGUGGAGGUAUAGUUCCUCUCUCAUAAUAAUUGCAAAUAGGAGCAGCAAGCACAUGCAUAUUAUAUUCAUCAAAAUCAUCAUGUGCAACGGUAAAAGGCAACCCAUCAAUAUAAUCCUUAAUAAGUGCAAACUUCUCCGAUAUAUAAUCAGGAGAAUUCAAAAAGAUAAUAGGACUAUCAUGCGUGGGUGCAAUAGUGACAAUUUCAUGUUUAACAUAAGGAACUAUAGCAAGUUCAUCUCCAUAAGCAUCAUUCAUAUUGGCAUCUUGGCCACAAGCAUAGCAAGCAUCAUCAAAAAGGGAUAUUUCAAAAGAAUCGUAGGGAUCAUAACAGUCAUCAUUGCAAUCAUCCUUCGGUAAGCACGAAGGGGAAUUAAAUAAUGUAUGAGUUGGAGGGUUACUCUCAUUAGAAGGAGGGCACAUGUAGCUAAUCCGCUCUUCCUCCUUUUGUUCUUCGCUCUCCUCAUCAUCUUUUUCAUCCAAUGGGCUCACAGUUUCAUCAAUUUCUUCUUCCAUAGCUUCCUGCAAAAUAUUAGUCUCUUCUUGGACAGCGGAGACUUCCUUAAUAAAUUGUUUAACAUCUUGGAGCCAUCGAAGAACAUGGUCCAAUGCUCCGAGUGAACUUGAGUCGGUAGUUGCUGUUCAAUCCACUCGGCAAGGAAAUCUGCGAUUGCUUGGGACUUGAUAGCUUUCUUUGCCUCAAACUUGAUAUCCAAUGGAAGGAGUUCAGUCGCCCAUUUUACCACUCGACCAGUUGCAUCUCUGUUGUUCAGAAUUUCAGAUAAUGGUGCGUCGCUGACGACUGUAAUGGAGUGAUCACAGAAAUAAUGUGCAACCUUCUUCAUGGUCAUGUAGAUUCCAUAGACAAGUUUAUGAUAAUGUGGAUAUCGCUGCUUGGAUGGAGUCAAAACUUCAGAAAGAUAAUACACUGGGAGCUGAACUUUGUAAGCCUUUCCUUCUUCUUCCCGCUCAACCGUGAGUACUGUACUAACAACUUGUCCAGUGGCUGCAAUAUAAAGGAGUAAAGGCUCUUUGCUGAUUGGCGCAGCAAGAACCGGGUGGGUGGAAAGUAGGGUUUUGAGCUCUACAAACGCUGCGUCAGCUUCAUCAGUCCACUCGAACUUAUCAGAUUUCUUCAUCAAUCAGUAAAGAGGCAAGGCCUUUUCACCGAGACGAGAGAUGAAUCGACUCAAGGCGGCCAAACAACCAGUAAGCUUCUGAAUGUCAUGCACACGCACAUGGCGUUUCAUUCGGAGGAUGGUAUCAACUUUUUCUGGAUUUGCGUCGAUCCCCCGUUCGGUAACAAGGAAACCGAUUAACUUUCCACCUGGAACUCCGAAUGUGCACUUUGAUGGAUUAAGCUUGAUAUCAUACCUUCUUAGGUUGGCAAAGGUUUUUGCAAGGUCAGUCAGUAGGUCGGAACCUUUACGUGACUUGACCACAAUGUCAUCCAUGUAUGCUUCCACAUUUCGACUGAUUUGAGUGAGCAGACACUUCUGAAUCAUCCUCAUGAAUGUGGCUCCGGAAUUUUUAAGACCAAAUGGCAUGGUGACAUAGCAAAAGCACCCAAAUGGGGUGAUGAAAGCUGUUCUUAUUUCAUCGGGACCAUACAGUCGGAUCUGAUGAUACCCGGAAUAUGCAUCUAAAAAAUACAAGCGCUCACACCCCGUAGUCGAAACAACAAUCCGAUCAAUGUGGGGGAGGGGGAAAUGAUCUUUCGGGUGGGCCCGAUUGAUAUGCUUGAAAUCGAUGCACAUACGAAGUGAAUCGUCCUUCUUAGGGACCAUGACCACAUUGGCGAGCCACUCAGAGUGGUAGAUCUCUCAGAUGAACUCUGCUGCUAGGAGCCGAGCCACUUCCUCGCCAAUUGCUUUUCUCUUCUGCACGGCGGACCACCGAAGAUGCUCUUUGACGGGUUUUACCUUGGGAUCGACAUGCAAAUGGUGCUCAGCCAGUCCUCUGGGUACACCCGACAUGUCAGAAGGUUUCCAUGCAAAGAUGUCCCAGUUCUCACGUAGGAACUAGAUGAACGCUUCUUCCUAUUUGUUGUCGAGUGUCAUCUGAAUAUGAGUCGGUGCAACAUUGGGAUCGGUAGGGUGGAUAUGAAUCGGCUUCAUUUCUCUAGACGACUGAAAUGCAGAAUCCAUGGCAGGCUUCUUAGCUCGGAGCAAAUCACUCGGAUCCGCAUUCUUCUGAUACUCUUGAAAUUCAACUACUGCCAUUUACGCAUCGGCAAUUUUGGAACCCUUCUGGAAGCAUUCUUCUGCCUUCUGCCGAUUACCAGUGACUGUGAUCACUCCUCUGGGACUGGGCAUCUUCAGCUUGAGGUACACGUAGCAUGGUCGAGCCAUAAAACACGCAUAGGCUGGCCUACCCAGAAUAGCAUGAUAAGCACUCUGGAAAUCCACUACUUCAAAUGUUAACUUUUCCUUAGGUAAUUCUUGGAAUCACCGAAAACUACGUCAAGGGCGAUCUGGCCGAGUGAUUCGGCUUUCUUUCCAGGGAUAACACCAUGAAAGCUCAUAUUGCUCUCGCUAAGUUUAGUCAUCGGAAUGCCCAUCCCCUUCAAGGUUUCAGCAUAAAGGAUAUUCAGACCGCUACCACCAUCCAUCAGCACUUUGGUCAGUCGAGUGCCUUUGACCACUUGGUCGACCACUAACGCUCGCCUCCCAGGAGUGGCUAUACGUGUCGGGUGAUCAGACUAGUCAAAUGUGAUGGUUGUUUGCGACCAUUUCAGGUAUGUGGUCGUCGUCGCCAGAGUGACCAUAUUCACUUCUCUAUUGAUAACUUUCAACCGACUCUUGCUCUCAACAUCAGCAAAAAUCAUUAGGGUGGAAUUGACUUUGGGAUUGUUGGGGAACGUUGCAGAAAAUAAUAUUUUUCUAUGCUUCACCAAGAUCAAUCUAUGAGUUCAUCUAGCAACGAGAGAGAGAAGUGCAUCUACAUACCCUUGUAGAUCGCGAGCGGAAGCGUUCAAGAGAACGGGGUUGAGGGAGUCGUACUCGUCGUGAUCCAAAUCACCGAUGAUCCUAGUGCUAAACGGACAGCAUCUCCGCGUUCAACACACGUAUGGUUGGGAAAGACGUCUCCUCCUUCUUGAUCCAGCAAGGGGGAAGGAGAGGUUGAUGGAGAUCCAGCAGCACGACGGCGUGGUGGUGGAUGCAGCAGCGAUCUCGGCAGGGCUUCGCCAAGCUCUACGAGAGAGAGAGGUGUAGUAGAGGGAGAGGGAGGCGCCAAGAGCAUGGGUGCGCCUGCCCUCCCUCCCCCCUCUUUAUAUAGGGCCCCUAGGGGGGCGCCGGCCCUAGGAGAUGCAAUCUCCAAGGGGGGCGGCAGCCAGGGGGGAAACUUGCCCCCCAAGCCAGGUGGAGGCGCCCCCACCCCUAGGGUUUCCAACCCUAGGCGCAGGCGGGGCCCAAGGGGGGCGCACCAGCCCACCAGGGGCUGGUUCCCCUCCCACUUCAGCCGAUGGGGCCCUUCGGGAUAGGUGGCCACACCUGGUGGACCCCCGGGACCCUUCCGGUGGUCCCGAUACAAUACCGGUGACCCCCGAAACUUUCUCGAUGGCCGAAACCUGACUUCCUAUAUAUAAUUCUUCACCCACGGACCAUUCCAGAACUCCUCGUGACGUCCGGAAUCUCAUCCGGGACUCUGAACAACUUUCAGGUUACUGCUACUAAUAUCUGUACAACCCUAGCGUCACUGAACCUUAAGUGUGUAGACCCUAUGGGUUCGGGAGACACGCAGACAUGACCGAGAUGACUCUCCGGUCAAUAACCAACAACGGGAUCUGGAUACCCAUGUUGGCUCCCACAUGCUCCUCGAUGAUCUCAUCGGAUGAACCACGAUGUCGAGGAUUCAAGUAACCCCGUAUACAAUUCCCUUUGUCAAUCGGUACGUUACUUGCCCGAGGUUCGAUCGUCGGUAUCCCAAUACCUUGUUCAAUCUCAUUACCGGCAAGUCACUUUACUCGUACUGUAAUGCAUGAUCCCGUGACCAAACACUUGGUCACUUUGAGCUCAUUAUGAUGAUGCAUUACCGAGUGGGCCCAGAGAUACCUCUCCGUCAUACGGAGUGACAAACCCUAGUCUCGAUCCGUGUCAACCCAACAGAUACUUUCGGGGAUACCCGUAGUAUACCUUUAUAGUCACCCAGUUACGUUGUGACGUUUGGUACACCUAAAGCACUCCUACGGUAUCCGGGAGUUACACGAUCUCAUGGUCUAAGGAAAAAAUACUUGACAUUGGAAAAUCUCUAGCAAACGAACUACACGAUCUUGUGCUAUGCUUAGGAUUGGGUCUUGUCCAUCACAUCAUUCUCCUAAUGAUGUGAUCCCGUUAUCAACGACAUCCAAUGUCCAUAGUCAGGAAACCAUGAAUAUCUGUUGAUCAAUGAGCUAGUCAACUAGAGGCUUACUAGGGACAUGUUGUGGUCUAUGUAUUCACACAUGUAUUACGAUUUCCGGAUAACACAAUUAUAGCAUGAAUAAAAGACAAUUAUCAUGAACAAGGAAAUAUAAUAAUAAUCAUUUUAAUAUUGCCUCUAGGGCAUAAUUCCAACAGUCUCCCACUUGCACUAGAGUCAAUAAUCUAGUUACAUUGUGAUGAAUCGAACACCCAUAGAGUUCUGGUGUUGAUCAUGUUUUGCUCGCGGAAGAGGUUUAGUCAACGGAUCUGCGACAUUCAGAUCUGUAUGCACUUUGUAAAUAUCUAUGUCUCCAUCUUGAACGUUUUCAUGAAUAGAGUUGGAGCGACGCUUGAUGUGCCUGGUCUUCUUGUGAAACCUGGGCUCCUUGGCAAGGGCAAUAGCUCCAGUGUUGUCACAGAAGAGAGUGAUCGGCCCCGACGCAUUGGGUAUGACUCCUAGGUCGGUGAUGAACUCCUUCAUACAUAUUGCUUCAUGCGCUACCUCUGAGGCUGCCAUGUACUCCGCUUCACAUGUAGAUCCCACCACGACGCUCUGCUUGCAACUGCACCAGCUUACUGCCCCAUCAUUCAAAAUAUAUACGUAUCCGGUUUGUGACUUAGAGUCAUCUAGAUCUGUGUCGAAGCUAGAGUCGACGUAACCCUUUACGACGAGCUCUUCGUCACCUCCAAAAACGAGAAACAUAUCCUUAGUCCUCUUCAGGUACUUCAGGAUAUUCUUGACCACUGUCCAGUGUUCCUUGCCGGGAUUACUUUGGUACUUUCCUACCAAACUUACGGCAAGGCUUACAUCAGGUCUGGUACAUAGCAUGGCAUACAUAAUAGACCCUAUCGCUGAGGCAUAGGGGAUGACACUCAUCUCUUCUAUAUCUUCUGCCGUGGUCGGGCAUUGAGUCGAGCUCAAUCUCACACUUUGUAAUAUAGGCAAGAACCCUUUCUUGGACUGAUCUAUAUUGAACUUCUUCAAUAUCUUAUCAAGGUAUGUGCUUUGUGAAAGACCUAUGAGGCGUCUCGAUCUAUCCCUAUAGAUCUUGAUGCCUAAUAUGUAAGUAGCUUCUCCAAGGUCCUUCAUUGAAAAACACUUAUUCAAGUAGGCCUUAAUGCUGUCCAAAAGUUCUAUAUCAUUUCCCAUCAAAAGUAUGUCAUCUACAUAUAAUAUGAGAAAUGCUACAGAGCUCCCACUCACUUUCUUGUAAACGCAGGCUUCUCCAUAAGUCUGCAUAAACCCAAACGCUUUGAUCAUCUCAUCAAAGCGAAUGUUCCAACUCCGAGAUGCUUGCACCAACCCAUAAAUGGAUCGCUGGAGCUUGCAUACCAUGUUAGCAUCCUCGGGAUCGACAAAACCUUCCGGCUGCAUCAUAUACAGUUCUUCCUUAAGAUAGCCGUUAAGGAAUGCCGUUUUGACGUCCAUUUGCCAUAUCUCAUAAUCAUAGUAUGCGGCAAUUGCUAACAUGAUUCGGACGGACUUCAGCUUUGCUAUGGGAGAGAAAGUCUCAUCAUAGUCAACCCCUUGAACUUGCCGAUAACCGUUAGCGACAAGUCGAGCUUUAUAGAUGGUAACAUUACCAUCCGCGUCCGUCUUCUUCUUAAAGAUCCAUUUAUUUUCUAUCGCUCGCCGAUCAUCGGGCAAGUCUGUCAAAGUCCAUACUUUGUUUUCAUACAUGGAUCCUAUCUCGGAUUGCAUGGGUUCAAGCCAUUUGUUGGAAUCUAGGCCCGCCAUCGCUUCUUCAUAGUUCGAAGGUUCACCGUUGUCUAACAACAUGAUUUCUAGGACAGGGUUGCCAUACCACUCUGGUGUGGAACGUGUCCUUGUGGACCUACGAAGUUCAGUAGCAACUUGAUCUGAAGUACCUUGAUCAUCAUCAUUAAUUUCCUCUCCAGUCGGUGUAGGCACCAUAGGAACAUUUUCCUGAGCUGCACUACUUUCCUGUUCAAGAGGUAGUACUUCAUCGAGUUCUACUUUCCUCCCACUUACUUCUUUUGAGAGAAACUCUUUCUCCAGAAAGGACCCGUUCUUGGCAACAAAGAUCUUGCCUUCGGAUCUAAGGUAGAAGGUAUACCCAAUGGUUUCCUUAGGGUAUCCUAUGAAGACGCAUUUUUCCGACUUGGGUUCAAGCUUUUCAGGUUGAAGUUUCUUGACAUAAGCAUCGCAUCCCCAAACUUUUAGAAACGACAGCUUAGGUUUCUUCCGAAACCAUAAUUCAUACGGUGUCGUCUCAACGGAUUUAGACGGUGCCCUAUUUAAAGUGAAUGUAGUUGUCUCUAGAGCGUAUCCCCAAAAUGAUAGCGGUAAAUCGGUAAGAGACAUCAUAGAUCGCACCGUAUCCAAUAGAGUGCGAUUACGAUGUUUUGACACACUGUUACGGUGAGGUGUUCCAGGCGGCAUGAGUUGUGAAACGAUUCCACAUUUCCUUAAGUGCGUACCAAAUUCGUGACUUAAAUAUUCUCCUCCACAAUCUGAUUGUAAGAACUUUAUUUUUCGGUCACGUUGAUUCUCUACCUCAUUAUGAAAUUCCUUGAACUUUUCAAAGGUCUCAGACUUGUGUUUCAUCAAGUAGACAUACCCAUAUCUACUUAAGUCAUCAGUGAGAGUGAGAACAUAACGAUAGCCUCCGCGAGCCUCAACACUCAUUGGACUGCACACAUCAGUAUGUAUGAUUUCCAAUAAGUUGGCUGCUCGCUGCAUUGUUCCGGAGAACGGAGUCUUGGUCAUUUUGCCCAUGAGGCAUGGUUCGCAUGUGUCAAAUGAUUCAUAAUUGAGAGACUCUAAAAGUCCAUCAGCAUGGAGCUUCUUCAUGCGCUUGACACCAAUGUGACCAAGGCGGCAGUGCCACAAGUAUGUGGGACUAUCGUUAUCAACCUUACAUCUUUUGGUAUUCACGCUAUGAAUAUGUGUAACAUCACGUUCGAGAUUCAUCAAGAAUAAACCAUUGACCAGUGGGGCAUGACCAUAAAACAUAUCUCUCAUAUAAAUAGAACAACCAUUAUUCUCGGAUUUAAAUGAGUAGCCAUCUCGUAUUAAACGAGAUCCAGAUACAAUAUUCAUGCUCAAAGCUGGCACUAAAUAACAAUUAUUGAGGUUUAAAACUAAUCCCGUAGGCAAAUGUAGAGGUAGCGUGCCGACGGCGAUCACAUCGACCUUGGAACCAUUCCCGACCCGCAUCAUCACCUCGUCCUUCGCCAGUCUCCGCUUAUUCCACAGCUCCUGCUUUGAGUUACAAAUAUGAGCAAUGACACCGGUAUCAAAUACCCAGGAGCUACUACGAGUACUGGUAAGGUACACAUCAAUUACAUGUAUAUCACAUAUACCUUUAGUGUUGCCGACCUUCUUGUCUGCUAAGUAUUUGGGGCAGUUCCGCUUCCAGUGACCCUUCCCUUUUCAAUAAAAGCACUCAGUCUCAGGCUUGGGUCCAUUCUUUGACUUCUUCCCGGCAACUGGCUUACCGGGCGCGACAACUUCCUUGCCGUCCUUCUUGAAGUUCUUAUUGCCCUUGCCUUUCUUGAACUUAGUGGUUUUAUUGACCAUCAACACUUGAUGUUCCUUUUUGAUUUCCACCUCCGCCGACUUCAGCAUUGAAAAUACUUCAGGAAUAGUUUUCACCAUCCCCUGCAUAUUGUAGUUCAUCACAAAGCUCUUGUAGCUAGGUGGGAGCGACUGAAGGAUUCUGUCAAUGACCGCCUCGUCCGGGAGGUUAAUGUCCAGCUGGGACAAGCGGUUGUGCAACCCAGACAUUUUGAGUAUAUGCUCACUGACAGAACUAUUUUCCUCCAUCUUACAACUAUAGAACUUGUCGGAGACUUCAUAUCUCUUGACCCGGGCAUGAGCUUGGAAAACCAUUUUCAGCUCCUCGAACAUCUCAUAUGCUCCGUGUUGCUCAAAACACUUUUGGAGCCCCGGUUCUAAGCUGUAAAGCAUGCCACACUAAACGAGGGAGUAAUCAUCAACACGUGACUGCCAAGCGUUCAUAACGUCUUGGUUCUCUGGGAUGGGUGCUUCACCUAGCGGUCCUUCUAGGACAUAUGCUUUCUUGGCAGCUAUGAGGAUGAUCCUCAGGUUCCGGACCCAGUCCAUAUAGUUGCUGCCAUCAUCUUUCAGCUUGGUUUUCUCUAGGAACGCGUUGAAGUUGAGGUUGCCAUGAGCGUUGGCCAUUUGAUCUACAAGACAUUUUUGCAAAGGUUUUUAGACUAAGUUCAUGAUAAUUAAGUUCAUCUAAUCAAAUUAUUUAAUGAACUCCCACUCAGAUUAGACAUUCCUCUAGUCAUCUAAGUGAUACAUGAUCCGAGUUGACUAGGCCAUGUCCGAUCAUCACGUGAGACGGACUAGUCAUCAUCGGUGAACAUCUCCAUGUUGAUCGUAUCUUCCAUAUGACUCAUGUUCGACCUUUCGGUCUCUUGUGUUCCGAGGCCAUGUCUGUACAUGCUAGGCUCGUCAAUUUAACCUAAGUGUUUGCAUGUGUAAAUCUGUCUUACACCCGUUGUAUGUGAACGUUAGAAUCUAUCACACCCGAUCAUCACGUGGUGCUUCGAAACAACGAACUUUCGCAACGGUGCACAGUUAGGGGGAACACUUUCUUGAAAUUAUUAUGAGGGAUCAUCUUAUUUACUACCGUCGUUCUAAGUAAACAAGAUGCAAAAACAUGAUAAACAUCACAUGCAAUCAAAUAGUGACAUGAUAUGGCCAAUAUCAUACAGCUCCUUUGAUCUCCAUCUUCAGGGCGCCAUGAUCAUCUUCUUCACCGGCAUGACACCAUGAUCUCCAUCAUCGUGUCUCCAUGAAGUUGCUCACCAACUAUUACUUCUACUACUAUGGCUAAUGGUUUAGCAAUAAAGCAAAGUAAUUACAUGGCGUUUAAUCAUUGACACACAUGUCAUACAAUAAUUAAGACAACUCCUAUGGCUCCUGCCGGUUGUCAUACUCAUCGGCAUGCAAGUCGUGAUUCCUAUUACAAGAACAUGAUCUCAUACAUCACAUAUAUAUCAUUCAUCACAACUUUUGGCCAUAUCACAUCACAAGGCAUAUGCUGCAAAAACAAGUUAGACGUCCUCUAAUUGUUGUUGCAUGUUUUAUGUGGCUGCAAUAGGGUUCUAGCAAGAACGUUUUCUUACCUACGUGAAAGCCACUACGUGAUAUGCCAACUUCUAUUUACCCUUCGUAAGGACCCUUUUCAUCGAAUCCGCUCCAACUAAAGUGGGAGAGACAGACACCCGCUAGCCACCUUAUGCAACCAGUGCAUGUCAGUCGGUGGAACAUGUCUCACGUAAGCGUACGUGUAAGGUCAGUCCGGGCUGCUUCAUCCCACGAUGCCGCCGAAGCAAAAUAAGACUAGUAGUGGCAAGAAAGUUGACAACAUCUACGCCCACACAAAUUUGUGUUCUACUCGUGCAAAGAGAACUACGCAUAGACCUAGCUCAUGAUGCCACUAUUGGGGAACGUUGCAGAAAAUAAAAAAUUUCUAUGCUUCACCAAGAUCAAUCUAUGAGUUCAUCUAGCAACGAGAGAGAGAAGUGCAUCUACAUACCCUUGUAGAUCGCGAGCGGAAGCGUUCAAGAGAACGGGGUUGAGGGAGUCAUACUCGUCGUGAUCCAAAUCACCGAUGAUCCUAGUGCUGAACGGACAGCACCUCCGUGUUCAACACACAUACGGUUGGGGAAGACGUCUCCUCCUUCUUGAUCCAACAAGGGGGAAGGAGAGGUUGAUGGAGAUCCAGUAGCAGGACGACAUGGUGGUGGAUGCAGCAGCGAUCUCGGCAGGGCUUCGCCAAGCUCUACGAGAGGGAGAGGUGUAGUAGAGGGAGAGGGAGGCACCAAGAGCAUGGGUGCGGCUGCCCUCCCCCCCUCUUUAUAUAGGGCCCCUAGGGGGGGGGGGCCGGCCCUAGGAGAUGCAAUCUCCAAAGGGGGGCGACGGCCAGGGGGGAAACUUGCCCCCCAAGCCAGGUGGAGGCGCCCCCACCCCUAGGGUUUCCAACCCUAGGCGUAGGCGGGGCCCAAGGGGGGCGCACCAGCCCACCAGGGGCUGGUUCCCCUCCCAUUUCAGCCCAUGGGGCCCUCCGGGAUAGGUGGCCCCACCCAGUGGUCUCGAUACAAUACCGGUGACCCCCGAAACUUUCCCGAUGGCCGAAACCUGACUUCCUAUAUAUAAUUCUUCACCUCCGGACCAUUCCGGAACUCCUCGUGACGUCCGGGAUCUCAUCCGGGACUCCGAACAACUUUCGGGGUACUGCAUACUAAUAUCUCUACAACCCUAGCAUCACCGAACCUUAAGUGUGUAGACCCUACGGGUUCGGGAGACACGCAGACAUGACCGAAACGACUCUCCGAUCAAUAACCAACAACAGGAUCUGGAUACCCAUGUUGGCUCCCACAUGCUCCUCGAUGAUCUCAUCGGAUGAACCACGUUGUCGAGGAUUCAAGUAACCCCGUAUACAAUUCCCUUUGUCAAUCGGUAUGUUACUUUCCCGAGAUUCAAUCGUCGGUAUCCCAAUACCUCGUUCAAUCUCGUUACCAGCAAGUCACUUUACUCGUACCGUAAUGCAUGAUCCUGUGACCAAACACUUGGUCACUUUGAGCUCAUUAUGAUGAUGCAUUACCGAGUGGGCCCAGAGAUACCUCUCCGUCAUACGGAGUGACAAAUCCCAGUCUCGAUCCGUGUCAACCCAACAGAUACUUUUGGGGAUACCCGUAGUAUACCUUUAUAGUCACCUAGUUACGUUGUGACGUUUGGUACACCCAAAGCACUCCUAUGGUAUCCGGGAGUUACACGAUCUCAUGGUCUAAGGAAAAAAUACUUGACAUUGGAGAAGCUCUAGCAAACGAACUACACGAUCUUGUGCUAUGCUUAGGAUUGGGUCUUGUCCAUCACAUCAUUCUCCUAAUGAUGUGAUCCCGUUAUCAACGACAUCCAAUGUCCAUAGUCAGGAAACCAUGACUAUCUGUUGAUCAACGAGCUAGUCAACUAGAGGCUUACUAGGGACAUAUUGUGGUCUAUGUAUUCACACAUGUAUUACGAUUUCUGGAUAACACAAUUAUAGCAUGAAUAAAAGACAAUUAUCAUGAACAAGGAAAUAUAAUAAUAAUCAUUUUAUUAUUGCCUCUAGGGCAUAUUUCCAACAAGGAUAACCGUCGUCUUCCUCUUUGUCCUCGUCUUUGUCCUCGUCUUUGUCCGACUCUUUCUCCUUAUCAUUGGGUUGUUUCUCUCGGAACCGCUGGAUCAGGAGUCGACAUUGUCGAGUGGUGUGCUUAGGGUAAAUCAUAUUACCCUCUUCAUCUUUCUUCGUAUGGAUAUGACAUGGUAAAUCCAACACAUCAUUUCCUGCUUGAUCUUUUACCUUCUUAGGGGUCCAGGGCCCCUAGGUUUUCCUUUAAACCUUCCUUGAACUAUUGCCGCGAUCUCACCGGGUGCUGCAGGCUCGGCCUUACAUUUCUGUUUCCGAAUAGAAUUACCGCCACCGGCAUCUUGGCCGACUGGUUUACCCUUUCCGCUGCGGAGUCGAUCCUCUUCUUCUCCGUUAGCGUACCAGGUGGCUAUUUCCAUCAUCCGAGUCAGAGUCAUAUCUCCAGUCCGACCGAACUUCAGGACCAGCUCUCGGUAUUUAAUGCCUUCCUUGAAGGCAGACACUGCUUGAUGCUUCGAUACAUUUUCCACGGUGUGAUGCAAAGUGGUCCACCUCUAAAUGAAAUCCCUUAGAGUCUCACUCGGUUUCUGCACACAAUGCUGCAACUCUGUCAACCCUGCUGGCCGCUUGCAAGUGCCCCCAAAAGUUCUGACGAACACCCGAGCAAGCUCUUCCCAACUGUAUAUACUGCCUAGGGCUAACUGAGUCAACCAUGCUCUGGCCGACCCUUCUAACAUCAGAGGAAGAUGCUUCAUUGCCACUUCAUCAUUCCCGCCACGAUUCUGCACAGCCACUCGGUAAUCCUCAAGCCAAGUUUCAGGUUUGGACUCUCCAGUGAACUUACUGACUCUAGUCGCCAACCUAAAGUUGGAAGGAAUCACUGUAGCCCUAAUGGCUCUGCUGAAACGGACCCGAAACAUGAACUCUGCUACCAGUCGGACGAUCUCUGCCAGGGUCUUCUCUACGCGCUCUGUUCCGGUCGACUAGACCUUGAACGAGGAUAGAUCUUGCAUCAAAGCCUGGCUCUCUUGGGUCGACUAGUGCUCUGCGCUCGCCACUAUGACGGCGCCUGUCAUCGUACUGCCGAGACACAUAUGAUGCACUCCUCGGAGGAGGUGUGGGCACUCGACGAUGAUCGUCGUGGUCGACUCGGUGAUCAUACUGCCCAUGGCCUUCACGCCGCAGGGGCGAUCUUGGACUGUGGGCCGACUAAACUAUAUCCGCUACCAGGGAUCUGCUAUGAAUCCUAUUCCGCGACAGAGACACUAUCGUGUUCUGUUCUCCUGCUGCCCGGAGUAAGGCUUGGAUCUGCAUCAAACCUCUGCCAGCCUCCGACUGGGAAGGUUGAAUUGACUCUGCUAUUCGGGCCGCAGCUGUGAGAUUUUGUAUCGGAGUGCAGUAUACCUUAGGCGGAGGCGGGAAAAGCUGUCAUCAACUGGACUCAGGGAUCCGCUCCUGAGCGCGCUCGUCGAGAGCGCGCUGGAGGUUCUUCAGUCGAGUGUGCUCAGCCAAAUUAGCCAAGCGCACCUCUUCCAAGGCCCGAGCCUCAGGGGUUUCUCCAACGAUGGGCGUGUGUGUUGGAAAUAUGCCCUAGAGGCAACAAUAAAUUAUUUAUUAUUAUUAUAUUUCCUUGUUCAUGAUAAUCGUUAUUAUCCAUGCUAUAAUUGUAUUGAUAGGAAACUCAGAUACAUGUGUGGGUACAUAGACAACACCAUGUCCCUAGUAAGCCUCUAGUUGACUAGCUCGUUGAUCAAUAGAUGGUUACAAUUUCCUAACCAUGGACAUUGGAUGUCGUUGAUAACGGGAUCACAUCAUUAGGAGAAUGAUGCGAUGGACAAGACCCAAUCCUAAGCCUAGCACAAAGAUCGUGUAGUUCGUAUGCUAAAGCUUUUCUAGUGUCAAGUAUCAUUUCCUUAGACCAUGAGAUUGUGCAACUCCCAGAUACCGUAGGAAUGCUUUGGGUGUACCAAACGUCACAAGGUAACUGGGUGGAUAUAAAGGUGCACUACGGGUAUCUCUGAAAGUGUCGGUUGGGUUGGCACGAAUCGAUACUGGGAUUUGUCACUCCGUGUAACGGAGAGGUAUCUCUGGGCCCACUCGGUAAGACAUCAUCAUAAUGUGCACAAUGUAACCAAGGGGUUGAUCACGGGAUGAUGUGUUACGGAACGAGUAAAGAGACUUACCGGUAACGAGAUUGAACAAGGUAUCGGGAUACCGACGAUCGAAUCUCGGGAAAGUACAAUACCGCUAGACAAAGGGAAUUGAAUACGGGAUUGAUUGAAUCCUCGACAUCGUGGUUCAUCCGAUGAGAUCAUCGUGGAACAUGUGGGAGCCAACAUGGGUAUCCAGAUCCCGCUGUUGGUUAUUGGACGAAGAGUUGUCUCGGUCAUGUCUAUGUGUCUCCCGAACCCGUAGGGUCUACACACUUAAGGUUCGAUGACGCUAGGGUUAUAGGGAAUAGAUAUAUGUGGUUACCGAAUGUUGUUCGGAGUCCGGGAUGAGAUCCCGGACGUCACGAGGAGUUCCGAAAUGGUCCGGAGGUAAAGAUUUAUAUAUGGAAAGUUGUUGUUCGGGUUCCGGGAAAAGUUCGGGUUUUCUGGUAUUGUACCGGGAAGCUUCCAGAAGGUUCCGGAGGAUUCCGGAGGGGUUCGGAGGUCCGAAAAUUGUUCCACCACGUCCAACACAGCAGCAUGGGCUGUAAGGGGGCGCCCUAGCCUUAAUGGGCCAGGGGCACCAGCCCCCCCAAGGCCCAUGCGCAUGGGAGAGGGGAAACCCUAAGGGGAGGGCCUCCAAUUGACUUGGGAGGCACUCCUCCCCCCCUUGGCCGCCGCCCCCAACCUUAGAUGGGAUCUAGGAGGGCCGGCCCCCUUUCUCUCCCCACCUAUAAAUAGUGGAGGGGUGGGAGGGCAGCCGCACCCCAAGUUCUGGCGCAGCCCUCCCCUCUCCCAAGUACUCCUCCUCUCCCGCGAUGCUUGGCGAAGCCCUGCAGGAUUGCCACGCUCCUCCACCACCACCACGCCAUCGUGCUGCUGCUGGACGGAGUCUUCCCCAACCUCUCCCUCUCUCCUUGCUGGAUCAAGGCAUGGGAGACGUCACCGGGCUGCAUGUGUGUUGAAAUGGAGGUGCCGUCCGUUCGGCACUAGGAUCUCCGAUGAUUUGGAUCAUGACGAGUACGACUCCUUCAACCCCGUUCUCUUGAACGCUUCCGCUUAGCGAUCUACAAGGGUAUGUAGAUGCACUCUCCUCUCUCUCGUUGCUAGUCUCUCCAUUGAUAGAUCUUGGUGACUCGUAGGAAAUUUUUGAAUUUCUGCUACGUUCCCCAACAGUGGCAUCAUGAGCUAGGUCUAUUGCGUAGAUUCUUUGCACAAGUAGAACACAAAGUAGUUGUGGGCGUUGAUUUUGUUCAAUAUGCUUACCGUUACUAGUCCAAUCUUGUUUCGACGGUAUUGUGGGAUGAAGCGGCCCGGACCGACCUUACACGUACACUUACGUGAGAAAGGUUCCACCGAUUGACAUGCACUUGUUGCAUAAGGUGGCUAGCGGGUGCCAGUCUCUCCCACUUUAGUCGGAUCGGAUUCGAUGAAAAGGGUCCUUAUGAAGGGUAAAUAGCAAUUGACAUAUCACGUUGUGGCUUUUGCGUAGGUAAGAAACGUUCUUGCUAGAAACCCAUAGCAGCCAUGUAACAUGCAAACAACAAUUAGAGGACGUCUAACUUGUUUUUGCAGGGUAUUCUAUGUGAUGUGAUAUGGCCAAAAAGGAAUGUGAUGAAUGACAUGUGAUGUAUGAGAUUGAUCAUGUUCUUGUAAUAGGAAUCAUGACUUGCAUGUCGAUGAGUAUGACAACCGGCAGGAGCCAUAGGAGUUGUCUUUAUUUAUUGUAUGACCCACGUGUCACUAAAUAACGCCAUGUAAUUACUUUACUUUAUUGCUAAACUGUUAGCCAUAGUGGUAGAAGUAAUAGUUAGGGAGACAACUUCAUGGUGACACGAUGAUGGAGAUCAUGAUGAUGGAGAUCAUGAUGAUGGAGAUCAUGGUGUCAUGCCGGUGACGAUGAUGAUCAUGGAGCCCCGAAGAUGGAGAUCAAAAGGAGCAAAAUGAUAUUGGCCAUAUCAUGUCACUAUUUGAUUGCAUGUGAUGUUUAUCAUGUUUAUACAUCUUAUUUGCUUAGAACGACAGUAGUAAAUAAGAUGAUCCCUCACUAAAAUUUCAAGAAAGUGUUCCCCCCUAACUGUGCACCAUUGCGAAAGUUCGUCGUUUCGAAGCACCACGUGAUGAUCGGGUGUGAUAGAUUCUAACAUUCACAUACAACGGGUGUAAGCCAUAUUUACACACGCGAAACACUUAGGUUAACUUGACGAGCCUAGCAUGUACAGACAUGGCCUCGGAACACAAGAGACCGAAAGGUCGAGCAUGAGUCGUAUAGUAGAUACGAUCAACAUGAAGAUGUUCACCGAUGAUGACUAGUCCGUCUCACGUGAUGAUCGGACACGACCUAGUUGACUCGGAUCAUGUAAUCACUUAGAUGACUAGAGGGAUGUCUAUCUGAGUGGGAGUUCAUAAGAUGAACUUAAUUAUCCUGAACAUAGUAAAAAAAACCUUUGCAAAUUAUGUCAUAGCUCGCGCUUUAGUUCUACUGUUUUAGAUAUGUUCCUAGAGAAAAUUUAGUUGAAAGUUGAUAGUAGCAAUUAUGCGGACUGGGUCCAUAAACUGAGGAUUGUCCUCGUUGCUUCGUAGAAGGCUUAUGUCCUUAAUGCACCGCUCGGUGUGCUGAACCUCGAACGUGGUCUGUGGAUGUUGCGAACAUCUGACACACACGUUUUUGAUGACUACAUAAUAGUUCGGUAAUGUUAAAUGGUUUAGAGUUGAGGCACCAAAGACAUUUUUUGAAAUGUCGCGGAACAUAUGAGAUGUUUCGAGGGCUAAAAUUAGGAUUUCAGGCUCGUGCCCAUGUCAAGAGGUAUAAGACCUCCGACGAUUUUCUUAGCCUGCAAACUAAGGGAGAAAAGCUCAAUCGUUGAGCUUGUGCUCAGAUUGUCUGAGUGCAACAAUCACUUGAAUCGAGUGGGAGUUGAUCUUCCAGAAGAGAUAGUGAUGUUUCUCCAAAGUCAUUGCCACCAAGCUGCUAGAGCUUCAUGAUGAACUAUAACAUAUCAGGGAUAGAUAUGAUGAUCCUUGAAGUGUUCAUGAUGUUUGACACCGCGAAAGUAGAAGUCAAGUAGGAGCAUCAAUUGUUGAUGGUUGCUAAAACCACUAGUUUCAAGAAGGGCAAGGGCAACAAGGGAUACUUCAUGAAACGGCAAAACAGUUGCUGCUCUAGUGAAGAAACCCAAGGUUGAACCCAAACCCGAGACUAAGUGCUUCUGUAAUGAGAGGAACGGACACUGAAGCAGAACCACCCUAGAUACUUGGUAGAUGAGAAGGCUGGCAAGGUUGAUAGAAGUAUAUUGGAUAUACAUUGAAUUAAAUGUGUACUUUACUAGUACUCCUAGUAGCACCAGGGUAUUAGAUACCGGUUCGGUUGCUAAGUGUUAGUAACUCGAAAUAAAAGCUACGGAAUAAACGGAGACUAGCUAAAGGUGAGCUGACGAUAUGUGUUGGAAGUGUUUCCAAGGUUGAUGUGAUCAAGCAUUGCACGCUCCCUCUACCAUCGAGAUUUGGUGUUUGCGUUGAGCAUAGACAUGAUUGGAUUAUAUCUAUCGCAAUACGGUUAUUCAUUUAAGGAGAAUAAUGGUUACUCUGUUUAUUUGAAUAAUACCUUCAAUGGUCUUGCACCUAAAAAGAAUGGUUUAUUGAAUCUCGAUCGUAGUGAUACACAUUUUCAUGCCAAAAGUUAUAAGAUAGUAGUGAUAGUAGCACUUACUUGUGGCACUGCCAUGUAAGUCAUAUUGGUAUAAAACGCAUGAAGAAGCUCCAUGUUGAUGGAUCUUUGGACUCACUCGUUUUUGAAAAGUUUGAGACAUGCGAACCAUGUCUAUUGGUGUAUACGCAUGAUGAAACUCCAUGCAGAUGGAUCGUUUGGACUCACUUGAUUUUGAAUCACUUGAGAUAUGCAAAUCAUACCACAUGGGCAAGAUGACUGAAAAGCCUCGUUUUUCAGUAAGAUGGAACAAGAUAGCAACUUGUUGGAAGUAACACAUUUUUGAUGUGUGCAGUCCAACGAGUGCUGAGGCAUGCAGUGAAUAUCGUUAUGUUCUUACUUCACAGAUGAUUUGAGUAGAUACUGAGUAUAUUUACUUGAUGAAACACAAGUCUGAAUUAUUGAAUGGUUCAAGUAAUUUCAGAGUGAAGUUGAAGAUCACCGUGACAGGAGGAUAAAAUGUCUAUGAUAUGAUCAUAAAGAUGAGUAUCUGAGUUACGAGCUUUGGCACGCUAUUAAGACAUUGUGGAAAUUGUUUCACAAUUAAUACCGCCUGGAACACCAUAGUGUGAUGGUGUGUCCGAAUAUCAUAGUUGCACCCUAUUGGAUAUGGUGCGUACCAUGAUGUAUCUUAUCGAAUUACCACUAUCGUUCAUGGGUUAGGCAUUAGAGACAACCGCACCCACUUUAAUAGGGCACCACGUAAUUCUGUUGAGACGACACCGUUUGAACUAUGGUUUGGAGAAACCUAAGUUGUCGUUUCUUAAAAGUUUGGGGCUGCGACGCUUAUGUGAAAAAGUUUCAGGUUGAUAAGCUCGAACCCAAAGCAGAUAAAAAGCAUCUUCAUAGGACACCCAAAACAGUUGGGUAUACCUCCUAAUUCAGAUCCGAAAGCAAUAGGGAUUGUUUCUUGAAUCGGGUCCUUUCUCGAGGAAAAGUUUCUCUCGAAGAAUUGAGUGGGAGGAUGGUGGAGACUUGAUGAGGUUAUUGAACCAUCACUUCAACUAGUGUGUAGCAGGGCACGUGAAGUUGUUCCUGUGGCGCCUACACCAAUUGAAGUAGAAGCUUAUGAUAGUGAUCAUGAAGUUUCGGAUCAAGUCACUACCGUACCUCAUAGGGUGACAAGGAUGCGUACUACUUCAGAGUGGUACAAUAAUCCUGUCUUGAAGGUCAAGUUGCUAGACAACAAUGAAUCUACGAGCUAUGGAGAAGUGAUGGUGGGCCCAUAUUCCGACAAAUGGUUAGAAGCCAUGAAAUCCGAGAUAGGAUCCAUGUAUCAAAACAAAGCAUGGACUUUGGUGGACUUGCCCGAUGAUCGGCAAGUCAUUUAGAUAAAUGGAUCUUUAAGAAGAAGACGGACAUGGACGGUAAUGUCACCGUCUAUGAAGCUCGACUUGUGGCGAAGAGUUUUUGACAAGUUCAAGGAGUUGACUAUGAUGAGAUUUUCUCAUCCAUAGUGAUGCUUAAGUCCGUCGGAAUCAUGUUAGCAUUAGUUGCAUUUAUGAAAUCUUCCAAAUGGAUGUCAAAACGAGUUUCCUUACCAGUUUUUGUAAGGAAAGGUUGUAUGCAAUACAAUCAGAAAGGUUUUGUCGAUCCUAAGGAUGCUAAAAGGUAUGCUAGCUCCAGCGAUCCUUCUAAGGACUGGAGUAAGCAUCUCGGAGUUGGAAUGUACGCUUUGAUGAGAUGAUCAAAGAUUUUGGGUUUAUACAAAGUUUAUGAGAAACUUGUAUUUCCAAAGAAGUGAGUGGGAGCACUAUAGAAUUUCUGAUGAGUAUAUGUUGUUGACAUAUUGUUCAUCAGAAAUGAUGUAGAAUUUCUGGAAAGCAUAUAGGGUUAUUUGAAAAGUGUUUUUCAAUAGAAAACCUGGAAUAAGCUGCUUGAACAUUGAGCAUCAAGAUCUAUGAGGAUAGAUCAAAAACGCUAAAUGGUACUUUCAAAUGAGCAUAUACCUUGACAUGAUCUUGAAGGUGUUCAAGAUGGAUCAGUCAAAGAAGGAGUUCUUGCCUGAGAUGUAAGGUAUGAAGUUAAGACUUAAAGCUCGACCACGGCAGAAAAGAGAGAAAGGACGAAGGUCGUCCCCUAUGCUUUAGACGUAGGCUCUACAGUAUGCUAUGCUGAGUACCGCACCUGAUGUGUGCCUUGCCACAUGUCUGGCAAGAGGGUACAAAGGUGAUCAAGGAGAGGAUCACCAGAUAGCGGUCAAAAUUAUCCUUAGAGGAAUAAGGAUAUGUUUCUCGGUUAUGGAGGUGAUAAAGAGUUCGACGUAAAGAGUUGCGUCGAUGCAAGCUUUAACACCUAUCCGAAUGACUCUGAGUAGCAAACCGGAUACGUAUAGUGGAGCGACCAUUUGGAAUAGCCCCAAGUGGAGCAUGGAAGCAGCAUUUACAAUAUGACCUAGAGAUUUGCGAAGUACAUACGGAUCUGAAUGUUGCAGACCCGUUGACUGAAACCUCUCUCACAAGCAAAACAUGAUCAAACCCCAGAACUCAUUGAGUCUUAAUCACAUGAUGAUGUGAACUAGUUUAAUGACACUAGUAAACUCUUUGGAUGUUGGUCACAUGGCGAUGUGACCUAUCAGUGUUAAUCACAUGGCGAUGUGAACUAGAUUAUUGACUCUAGUGCAAGUGGGAGACUGUUGGAAAUAUGCCCUAGAGGCAAUAAUAAAUUAGUUAUUAUUAUUAUAUUUCCUUGUUCAUGAUAAUCGUUUAUUAUCCAUGCUAUAAUUGUAUUGAUAGGAAACUCAUAUACAUGUGUGGGUACAUAGACAACAUCAUGUCCCUAGUAAGCCUCUAGUUGACUAGCUCGUUAAUCAAUAGAUGGUUACGGUUUCCUGACCAUGAACAUUGGAUGUCGUUGAUAACGGGAUCGCAUCAUUAGGAGAAUGAUGUGCUGGGCAAGACCCAAUCCUAAGCCUAGCACAAAGAUCGUGUAGUUCGUAUGCUAAAGCUUUUCUAAUGUCAAGUAUCAUUUCCUUAGACCAUGAGAUUGUGCAACUCCCGGAUACCGUAGGAAUGCUUUGGGUGUACCAAACGUCACAACGUAACUGGGUGGCUAUAAAGGUGCACUACGGGUAUCUCUGAAAGUGUCUGUUGGGUUGGCACGAAUCGAUACUGGGAUUUGUCACUCUGUGUAACGGAGAGGUAUCUCUGGGCCCACUCGGUAGGACAUCAUCAUAAUGUGCACAAUGUGAUCAAGGGGUUGAUCACGGGAUGAUGUGUUACGGAACGAGUAAAGAGACUUACCGGUAACGAGAUUGAACAAGGUAUCGGGAUACCGACGAUCGAAUCUCGGGAAAGUACAAUACCGCUAGACAAAGGGAAUUGAAUACGGGAUUGAUUAAAUCCUCGACAUCGUGGUUCAUCCGAUGAGAUCAUCAUGGAACAUAUGGGAGCCAACAUGGGUAUCCAGAUCGCGCUGUUGGUUAUUGGCCGGAGAGUUGUCUCGGUCAUGUCUACGUGUCUCCCGAACCCAUAGGGUCUACACACUUAAGGUUCGAUGACGCUAGGGUUAUAGGGAAUAGAUAUACGUGGUUACCGAAUGUUGUUCAGAGUCCUAGAUGAGAUCCCAGACAUCACGAGGAGUUCCGAAAUGGUCCGGAGGUAAAGAUUUAUAUAUGGAAAGUUGUUGUUCGGGUUCCGGGAAAAGUUCGGUUUUUUCUGGUAUUGUACCGGGAAGCUUCCAGAAGGUUCCGGAGGAUUUCGGAGGGGUCCGGAGGUCCGAAAAUUGUUCCACCACGUUCAAUACAGCAGCAUGGGCUGUAAGGGGGCGCCCUAGCCUUAAUGGGCCAGGGGCACCAGCCCCCCCAAGGCCCAUGCGCAUGGGAGAGGGGAAACCCUAAGGGGGACGGCCUCCACUUGACUUGGGAGGCACUCCUCCCCCCUUGGCCGCCGUCCCCAACCUUAGAUGGGAUCUAGGGGGGCCGGCCCCCUUCUCUCCCCACCUAUAAAUAGUGGAGGGGUGGGAGGGCAGCCGCACCCCAAGUUCUGGCGCAGCCCUCCCCCUCUCCCAAGUACUCCUCCUCUCCCGCAGUGCUUGGCGAAGCCCUGUAGGAUUGCCACGCUCCUCCACCACCACCACGCCGUCGUGUUGCUGCUGGACGGAGUCUUCCCCAACCUCUCCCUCUCUCCUUGCUGGAUCAAGGCAUGGGAGACGUCACCGGGCUGCAUGUGUGUUGAACGCGGAGGUGCCGUCAGUUCGGCACUAGGAUCUUCGGUGAUUUGGAUCACGACGAGUACGACUCCUUCAACCCCGUUCUCUUGAACGCUUCCACUUAGCGAUCUACAAGGGUAUGUAGUUGCACUCUCCUUUCUCUCGUUGCUAGUCUCUCCAUAGAUAGAUCUUGGUGACUCGUAGGAAAAUUUUGAAUUUCUGCUACGUUCCCCAAAAGUGUGGAGCACAUCCAUGUUGCGGCAACGAAGUUCUUCCCUCUGCUGCGAAGAGAGGAGUUCGGGAUGGUACUCCUCGUGAACGCGUGACGGAUUGCCGCCACCAUCCCCGCCGUCUUCAUGGCGGAAACCAGGCGGACUUCGUGGUCCAUCGACCAUCAAUACUUCAGCCGCAGGGUCGCUGCUAUCGUACUCGGAUGUGGUCUCGACGGAGCCAGUCGACAGAUCGAACAGGCAGUGGAGAGUUUCGUCGGGCUCGAUUGCCGCGACUUGAUGGGUGGCCGAAUGUCGAGCCACCGCGUGCUUCACCCACCGCUGAAGCCGCGACCGACCGGAUCGCUUGCGGCGGCGAACAGCGGGGAGAGAAGACACCAUCGAAGCCGACCGAUACUGGGUCAACGGCUGCCGGAGAAGGACGCCGCGAACGCACGUGCGAAAGUGUGUUGCCCCUCAGACGGGGAGCGCCUCGACAUCAAGGGGAGCUUCAUGAAGCCAAGCAGAGUCGUCGGCGAUGAAAAUGAGCGCGCCGAGACGGAUCUCGCGGCCCUCAGCCAUUCCACCGCCGGAAACCAUGAUGAUGGGGAUCGAAAAAAUUGCAACUUCACCAACAAGUCGCUAAGACACCUGCCCCACGGUGGGCGCCAACUGUCGUGGUUUUAAGACUGACAGUAGAAAGGGGGGUAGGUAUAGAGAGGCAAGAUCCCAGCUAUGGUGAAGGUGUACACACAGGAUUUACGAGUUCAGGCCCUUCGCGGAGGAAGUAAUAGCCCUAUGUCUCGGUGCCCGGAGGCGGUCGACUGGAUUAUAUGUGUGUGAUGUUACAGGGGGUGCCAACCCUUGUCUUAGAGGAGGGGGGUGGCUUAUAUAGAGUGCGCCAGGACCCCAGCCAUCCUCCAUUACAAGGGACUUAAUGUACAUAAAGUAGGGGCGUUACUGAUAACGCCAGCCUUAAGAGUUAUUAAUGAUCUUAAAGACUACGGAGUGAAUGUCCGACCGUUGCAGUGCUGAGUGACUCCUGGCCUUCAGUAGGUCGAGUGAUUCUUCAUAUGGUUGAGUGACAACAGGCAGGGGGACACCUGAGUGAUAUGACUGGUCGAGUGGAUUGCACUCGACAUCUUUGACUGGGGGUUCUUCGCUGCCUCUUGAACUUCUUAUCUUCUAGGGUAGUGACCUUGGGUAGGACGUAUAGGUCAGGCCUAUGACCCUACCCCAAGUAUGUAUCCUCAUCAGCGGCGGUCCGGAGGUCCUGGUUUGCGUCAGGUUUGCAAGAGUUCGGAUGCCCGGACGCGUCUACGGAUAAUAGGGUUUCAUGUUGAAUGCUAAACUACGUCCGGACAGCUUGGUUUGAACGUUUGUGGGCUAUUUGAGGGUCCGCUUGAAGAUGCCCUUACAUACAAUAUUUUCAUUUGAACCGUUUGCAACACAUUUCUUUUUGUAGCUCAUUCAUAUUUCUUAUUUAGGUUGCUUUAUUUCUGUUUUUCACAUAUUUACCGUAUAAGGUUUGAAUGAUGGAGGCCAUUAGGUGCACAUUUAUGAUUAUUGAGAAAAAAAUCAGUAUGCACCAUGCAAGAUGCAAAUACUUCGCAUUUUUGUUGCAUUGCUGGUGUAUAGUUCAAAAUACAGAGAAAGUUAAAGCUAAUAUGAAUAUUGAGAAAACAUUACUGUAGUUUUUGGUGAAUGGUAAGGAUCUUAAUGUGUGGCAAUGGAAAACUAGCAAUAUUGUCGGCAGUGGAGGAGCUAGGUAAAAUNNNNNNNNNNNNNNNNNNNNNNNNNNNNNNNNNNNNNNNNNNNNNNNNNNNNNNNNNNNNNNNNNNNNNNNNNNNNNNNNNNNNNNNNNNNNNNNNNNNNNNNNNNNNNNNNNNNNNNNNNNNNNNNNNNNNNNNNNNNNNNNNNNNNNNNNNNNNNNNNNNNNNNNNNNNNNNNNNNNNNNNNNNNNNNNNNNNNNNNNNNNNNNNNNNNNNNNNNNNNNNNNNNNNNNNNNNNNNNNNNNNNNACAACAUAGCUCCGCCGCUGAUUGUCGGCACGCCAUACAAAAUAAUAGAGUCCACAUACUGCUUUCUAGCAUUAUCUCUUCCCCUUCUCCUCGUCCACUGGCGUCUUCCAUUAGUAACAAAAGAUGUAAAUAUUUAUGUGAUCCACUUAAGUCUCGUGGACUCUUCUUCCACUCGGCACAUCAAUGCCCGUAUUGCAAUUUCAUUUUUAGAAUUUUGGAAUGUCAUGCCUCUGUCGUUUGUUCAUUUUCUAAUUACGUUUUCUUCUAAUUACCUCUAUCAUUUGGUCAUCUCAGGCAUUAUAAAUACCAUUGUAUAUUCAUAGAAAAUUUGCUAAAACAUUCUCUUGUACUCACUUUUUCAUAGCUCGUUCAUCGAAACUGACUUAAACUUGACAUAUUUUUUGCUCACAAAUCUUUAAAGUCAAUUCCAAACACAUGAACCAAAAUAUACAUAGUAGGUAAAGUACAUGGUUGGAAUCAUAGAUUUUGAAUGUUUAUUCUAUUUUCCAUCUGUUUUCAAUUGUUCUUUCAAGUUAACAUAACUGACAUGAGGCUUACAGCUGCACUCUCCGAACUGAUAGCUGUGUCAUUUCAACAGUUCAUCAUGUAAGUUUUGUUUACAAACAUACGGCCAUACACAUUGCCCUUAUUUUUGCAAUCCGAGGGCCUGAUUGCUACUCCCUCCGUUCCAAAAUAGAUGACUCGACUUUGUAUUAAUUUAUUUUGGAACGGAGGGAGUAGAUCGCAUUAUUUUCCAUGUUGUAUCUUUUGGAGGAGCUCUAGAUCACCUACUGUUAUUGUACCAACCUCUGAUUAAUCACAUUCUUGCUUCUCUGUAGAUUCAUGUCCAACAAUCAGCCACAACCUUUGAUCUGAAAUUGAUCCUCCUUAGAAGAGCUGUCAGCCUAUUGCAUCAUCGGUUAAAAAAGGCAGCUAAAUGAUAGGACGUGUCGCAACUUGCAUAUUUUGUCGGAAAUCGUUCAAACCUGGCAUGGAUCCUUACCACGGGCAUGGCCCCUGCCUACAAAAGUUUGGGUCAUUUAAAUUUUUUCAAAACUAGACCAUGUUCAAUGGAGGGUGCACCCGGAUGGGCAUGCCCAUGGUAGGCAACCAUGCUAGGUUUAACAAUUUCCGACACCAUAUGUAAGUUGCGACAUGUUCGACCAUUUUAUCGGUCUUCUUUUACUAAGAAAACUUCAGAAAAUGCAGAACUUGUCAAAAACCAAAUCAACUUGGCAUGGUGCCCUGAAUUGCUCAUAAAAGGCCAUGGGAAAAAUUAGGUCCAUUACUUCUUCUUUUUUGCUGGGGAAAUUGGGACCAUUUCAAAGAUAUUGAAAAAUAAUGUGCUCUCAGAAGAAUCAUUCUGACCUUACCGAAUAAUCUCCGUUAAACAUGGUGUUUUUUGGACAUCCUUGAAAUGACCCCAACUAAUAAAUACAAAGGGAUAAAAUUGAAAACCGUAAGUAUUUUUUAAAAGCAUUUAAUAAAAAAAUAGAAAAAAUAAUUUGGAACCAUUAGUUUAAAAAGUUAGUUAAAACAUGUAUUUUGGUAUUAAAAAAAGAGAAAAGUGAAUUAGUAAAAUAAGAAAUGAAAUGAAAAAGAUAGAAAAGAAAAUAGAACGCUUAGGCCUUGGCCUAACUAGGCGACGACAUUGCUCUCGUCGGGCGCGUGUGGGCCCGGUCCAAGAGCUCACAUAUUUGAAAAAAGUUCAUCAAUUUUUUUACAAAAUAUUCAUGGAUCUGAAAAUUUUCAAAAAAAAGUUCACUAAGGAAAUUUGCCAAAAGGUUUUCUCGGUUUUGGGAACCUUGGCUUCCCAGCCAUUUUUUCCGGCUUUGGGACAUUCUCGAAGGUCGUGAACCGUGUUUUUUCUUUUUCUCUUUUUAUAUUCUCUCUUGUUCAUUUUUUGUCUUCUUUGACUUUUCGUUUAUUCUGUUUAUUGUUUCUAUUUCUCAUAAAUUAAAUUUUUUCGGAAUUCAUUUUUUUUUUCAUAUUCUUCUGGAAUUCCAAAUUCGCUACUGUUUUUUUAAAAAAUGUACAUGUUUUAAAUUUUUGUUAUUUUAUAAAAAAAAUGUUUGUGUUUUGACAUUCUGAGCAAGUUUGAAAGGCAUGACAUUUUUUUUGAAAUUUAUGCACAAUUUUAAAAAACAAACAUUAGUCUUUUAUGAACAAAACAGGAAAACUAGAAACCGUAACAAAAACCGUGCAAAAAAACAUAAACCAAAGAGUGAAGGUGUUGUGUUUUUUUUUCUUGGCGUUGUGUCUCUCGAACAAGAAGAAGAAAACAAGGUUAGUAAGCAUAUUAGAUGUGCUAGCCCAGAUGGUUUGUGCGGUUACAUGUAGUGCGUGAGUGCUGUAGUUCGAAUCCAGCCGACGACAUCCAUUUUUUAAUGAUUAAAACUAAAAAAGCUAAAUGGGCUGAGCCCAUGUGGGAGGGCUGUUCGCCGGGUAUUAUACGAACCUACAACGUAUACGUAGAAAAGUGUCCAUACUAUUCUUUAUACGUUUUGUGAGGGGGGGUGUACCGAAGCAUUGCUGACUCGAUAAAUGUGUCUUGCUACAUACAUACGCACUGCAUUAGACAAGAAAGAACAUAGUGCCAAACACAUGACACAAAGUUCCUUUGUACACCUGUACAAAUACAAUAACGAAUGUCUAGAAAUGAAAACGGGGAAAACAAAAAACAGCAUGUGCUAGUAUCUUGCUUGAUCAGACUGACCUACAAUUAUCGCCUUUAAGAAAAAAAAUACUCCUAUUACUUUCCAUCCACUAACCUUGGAAGAAGGAAAGGAAGACUCAUGCAGUAUGCUGGUCAUAACAUCCAAGGCUCUCAUCCGGAUCACGCGGCACUUCUCGAGCCCAUGAGGGUCACACAGGCUGAAGGUGACGACUGACGAGCUUCUUCUUUCUCUUGAUCCAAUCGCACAACUUCUUGGCCUCCUUUGCCAUACCCUUGAAUCGAAUCCAAGACAUUCAUCUUUUGCAACCAGUACGUGCCACUAUGAAUAGUCCGGCAAUUCACAGAAAAGAAAUGGAUAGACAUAUACUCCCUCUGUAAACUAAUAUAAAAGUUUUUAGAUUACUAAACUAGUGAUCUAAACACUCUUAUAUUAGUUUACAGAGGGAGUACUUGUUAAAAUUCAGCGCAUUUUGGAAGGCAGGCACGUACCACCAUUGCAGCAGCGGGGGCAAUAGACUGCUGUCCUUUGAGGUUGUUGGCAAGGCCCAAGGCGCACGUGCGGAUCAUGCUGCUAUGCUGGAUUAUGUCGUCAAAAGGCGCCGCGCCAUGCUUCAGCAGCUCACACAUCAGGUCAGCCUCUCUGAUGAUACACUUGAAGCCAAUUUUUUUGCAUCAGUCAAAAGACCACAGAAAGAAUCGAACGAAAUACGCUAAGAUUGAGAGGGAUAGCAUUCCAGUGGUAACAUACAAAAAUAAAUAAUUUGCUUUGUUCAGGCAAGGAAGGCACAUACCACAAGAGCAACGGCAGUAGGAACACACAAUUCACCCCCUGCGCCGUAGAUUGAAAGUGCAAACUGCUUGAUAAGGCUACUCUGAAUGGUAGUGCUGAUUGGUAAAGUGGCAUCCAAGCUACGUUCCACUCGAGUCUUCCACUUGGACAGGAGUUCCUCCUCCGUCUUGAUACACUACUUGAAAAAAAACGCCAAUUUGAAAUAUGUCGGCGCAAAAAGUUUCAGUUAGGUAACUGAUGGUUACUUACCAAUUUGGCAACAGCAGUACCCAUGUCAGCAGCAGCGGUGAUUUGCGAAUCCCCGGGAGUUUCGUUUGCAGCAGCAGCAUCGGCGACCAACUCAUGAGCAUUGCAGUUAUAGUACUCCUCAAGGUAGCUGCUAUAGUAAGACCACUUAAUGGAAUCGAGCAGUGGUAGCAGCCUUUCCCACCCCCAUAGUUUCUCAAAAAGAUCUUCUGAAACAAAACAUUACCCAAUUCUUUUUUACAUACGAAGCGUAUUGCAAGGGAAAUGUGAAGAGCCCAUAAUAACCAUAAUUGUGGUGAUUAGCUUGUCUGUUACCUUCUUUCCUCUUCUCACUCUUUUCACCACCUUUAAUAUUUUUCUUAUACUGAGAAUUCAACACAUCUGGAAUGCCGCCCCUGGUGAUCAUACAGUGAAAUGGUAUAGCAUUACCAUCACAAUGCUUCUUACCAUCAAGAAGUAACAAACUAAUUCUCUUCAACCACCUAUAGCUGCAUCAAGAAGGAAGAAACAAAUGGAACAUCCAUACUAGAUGUCAGCAGCAACUGCGAUUUGCAAAUCCUGGGGAGUUUGGUUGGCAGCAGCAGCAGCAUCGGCAAUGAACCCGUAAGCAUUGCGUUUGUAGUACUCCUCAAGAUAGCUGCUAUAGUCAGACCACUUAACGGAACCGUAUAGUGGCAGCAGCCUUUCCCACCCCAUAGUUUCCCAAAAAGAUCUUCCAAAACAAAACAUUACCCAAAAAACAUUACAUAUGAAGGAUAUUGCAAGGGAAAUAUGAAGAGCCCUUAUAGUAACCAAAAUUGUGGUGAUUAGCUUCUCUGUUACCUUCUUUCCUUUCUCACUCUUUUCACCACCUUUAAUACUUUUCUUAUACUGAGAAUUCAAUACAUCUGAAAUGCCGCCCCUGGUGAUCGUACAGUGAAAUGGUAUAUAGUAUCACAGUGCUUAUUAUCAAGAAAAAACAGAUAAAUUCUCUUAAACCACAUAUAGCUGCAUCACGAAGAAGAAACACCCAUACCCUGUGAUGUUUGCUGCUCCAGCAGCAGCAAUGCCGUCCCCGUCACCACCAGGACCAUUUCUACUAGCAGGUUCUUCUUUAUCAAUCUUGUGCCCAGCAACAGCAGAAGACUCUUCUAGUCUGUCAAUCAUAGCAUUAAAAGUUUGGUACCGGAUCCUGCGGCUGUCCUCAAUCUCAUCAGGUACGGAAUAAUGACAUAAAUCAACAGGCUUGUUAUUUUCACUUAUCCACGCACAUAUAAUUCCGGUCUCCUUGGCAAUACCCUUAAAUUGAAGCAGCCCAUCAGUUUGCAGUUAGUGCCCAUAAUUAAGCUACUAGUAGUAAAAACAAAAUUGUGCAAAGUGCAGUUCAUAACGCUCAAGAAUGGAUGGAUGAUAAUGUUAUGUUCGACAGAUGGCCCGCAAGGCUCAUACAUAGGUGAUCAUCAAUUUGACAGAUGGAUGGGUGGUAAUAUUAGGUGGGUUUUUGAAGGCAGGCAGGCACGUACCAACAUGGCAGCGGAUGCGGCAACAGAAUUGUCCGAGGUGCAGUUCAUAAGGCUCAAGGCACAAGUGCGUAUCUCUCUGCUCUGGUCGAUUAAGUAAUCAUCAACCGGAUCAUUGCCACACCUCAACAACACAUGCGUCAGGUCAGCUUCCUUUGCAAUACACUUGAAACCAUCGUUUUGCAUUAGUACAAUGAAAAUAAAGUCAAUCAAAAUAAUCCAUAUCCAAUCCAACUCGCCAAGGCGAAUUUGGGUGCCAAUUUAUCCUUUAUAUAGGAACAAAGCUGCCAAGUUCCUCCCAUAUAUACUCCAUGCGUAAAGAAAUACAAGAGCGUCUAGAUCACUAAAAUAGUAGUGAUCUAAACGUUCUUAUAUUUCUUUACGGAUAGAGUAAGUAUUAACUAGUCUCUCUCCCCUCUAAACAGGAUGUUACCUCCCUUUCCAUUUAAAAUGAUUGUCCAAGUCAGUAAAAAUUACUCCCUUUACGUUUUUGACACUACACUAAUGUAAAAAUCAUUCUUAUAUUAUGGGACACAGGGAGUACUAGGUAAUUAGGAUGCAGAGAAAGGAGUGCUUAACAUUUAAUGAUGAAAUGAUCCGAGAAGGGCAUCCCCCCCUCCCCCGCGCCGCCCUCCUCUGGCGACACGGGGGCGCCCCUGUCGUGCCGCCGCUCCUCUCCCUCCCUCACACCCUGUCUCGCCGCCACCUGAGGAGGCCGCUGGCAAAGGCCGCGCGCGCUCCGGGGAAGGUGGUGGCGAGGCGCUUCUCCUGCUCCGCGCGUCCGUUUCGUCAGAGGAGGGGCAAUGGGAUGCGUCAGAUUGGAUCGGGAGGCCGGCCUCGGAGGCGGACGGAGGCGCCGCUCGUCGGCGUCGUCUCGGAGUCCCUGCCGGCCAGUCCCGACCCCCCUAUGUGCAGCGCCUCGUCGCUGCUUGCUCGGGCGCUGACUGGUCAGGGGCGGGGGCGGAUCUGGGGCUCCCUUCCCAGAUCCGGACGGUAUUGGCUGGGGCGCGAGGUUGUGGCGGGCGGCAGGUGUGGUUGGGUGUGUGCGAUCUGGGCGCCGGCCGCGGCGGCGUCGGAAGGGUGGUCGUGGUGGAGCAGCGCAUGACGGUGCUGGCCUGGUGCUCGUUUGGCUGCGUAGUUGGGCCGUCUAGGUCCGGCGCUGUCCAGAUCUGCCAUCCUCGGCCGCUGGGUCGGCAAGGACUCUGCUCCUGACGAUGAGCUACAUGCGUGGAGGUGUCUCCGUCCGGUGGCGUGGUGGCGGCUCGCUGCUGGCUGCAUGGCGGUGCGUGGCUGGGAGAUGGAGGUUGCUGCCGGUGGCGGUGCUUGGUGGGGCGCUCAUGGCGCCCAGUGCAUCCUGUGGCUGCUGGUGCUGCCAUGAGGCGCGGGCGAUGGUGCGGUGUGCCAUUAAUAAUCUAAUCACAGGGUGUGUGAAUGCUCAACUCGGUGAAAGCCAUGCUCUGUCCAGAGCCGACGACAGUGACGCCCGUGGGCGCCACUACCCUUCCUGGAGGCGUCAUCAAAAUGUUGAUUUCACCACCCUUUGCCCGACCUAGGAGGAAACUCUGCUUCCAGGUCUACCUGGAACUGAUGAUGGCGGCGCAACCGUGCGCCGCGCCCCUUCUUGAAGGUAUCAUCGAGAAGUUGGCUAGGUUGUUUUGUUGGUUAGCUGCAAGCAGUGGGGUUGUCGGUGGUGGUGGUGUGACUGGUUUGGGGUAAUGGUGGUGCGUGUCGGGGUCUGGCAACAACACUCCUCCGUGCUGUGGAGCGGCCAUCUCUACCCCGUAUGCAUGUCCUUGGUGGUGUUCUGUAGGGAUUUGGCGGCGGUGCCUUUGUGUCGUCCCUCUUGCUGUGCAAGCUCAAGACCUUCUCAUGGCUACCGUUGUGUUGAUGCGAGCUUCGUGCUCUUGGUGUUGCUUUGGUCAUCUUUGCUCAAUGCCGCGCAAAUAGCCUCCCCAACUUGCUAAUCGUCCUGAACUUCAUUAGCGGAGCUCGUAGUCAAGGUUCGUACGUGGCACUCGUUGACUAUGGUGCUCCUGUGUUGCGCCGUGGGUUCGGUAUGCAUGCCAGUGCGGUGCGUUAGGUUCCUUGCAAAGUCUUGGUAUUGUGUCCCUCGACAUUACCCCACAACUACUUGUGUCUUUUAUGGUGUUGGUCUUGUUAAUCUGCUAGCUAUGUCCUGCCUUUGGUGGGCGCCCUACUCUUCUCAUCUUCUAGUAACCUUGUUACUUGUACGGUUUUUGGCCCGGUUUUUCUUAUAAACGGAGCCAAAUUGUUUAGGUUUUCGAUUUGGUUUUCCUUAUAAACCGGAUCACUCUCUGGCAUAAUAGCCACUUUGAGCAAUAUAUUCAGGUGGAGGGACUCCUCCCCCGGUGAUUCUCAAAAAAAUAAUAAUAAUUAUGAAAUGAUCAAAGACAAGAUAAUUGUUUGGUGUGUUCUUAUGGAACGUACCAACAAAGCCGAACCGUGCAGAUUGGAAAAGCCACGACCUGCUGCGUGGACGACUGAACGUGCACGCUCGUGGAUCAGGCAACUCAGAAGGGUCGAUUUCCUCAUCGGCAGGAUAACAUCCUUUUGAGAUUUCAUCUGGGUCUUCCACUCGGACACAAGCUGCUCCUCACUGAUGAGACACUGCUUGAAAAACCAUAAAAAUUAAAAAGAAGCAGGAUAUGUAUAAUUGGUGGCAGGAGGUUUAUUUUGCUUACAGUCUGAGCUAGAGCAGCUAUGCUGCUAACAGCAUCGACAUUCCGACGGCGAUACUCCUCGAGGUAGGCACUGUAGUCGGACCACGACAAGGCGGAAUCCCCGAUGGAUAGCAGUCUGUCCCAUCCCCAUAGUUUCUCCAAGAGAUCUUUCGUCGAUCCAACAAGUGAAACAACAUAAUUAAGUAAGAUUCCAGCACUGACGAACAAAGGAAGAAGCAUGUUACUGUAGAUGGCAAUGCAAGCAAUGGAUGCUGGAGUUUGGUUCCUAGAUAGAGUUGAACCAUGGUACUUGACGAUAUGUGCGCUCGGCAUCUCCUUUGUGACUGUGCCGGACCUCUCCAUGUCUUGGAUGAGACCGGUGAAGUACUCCCUGUCCUCUGCCUCUUCUUCCCUGCGCGCGGCCUCCAUCCGCAUCUUGUUGGCCAUGUCCUCGAAACGCCUGCUCUUGGCCUCCAUCUGAUCGGCCUGCUUCUUCGUCGCGGUGUCGCCGAAAUGCGCGCAGCUGAAGGGGUGCUCUGAUCGUGCCCCAGCCGGGUCCAAACUCCAAAGUUACGGCGUCGCCGACAGAGCAGUCACCAAGGACGGAGAUCACGGCCGGAGAGGCGGCUAGUACUACUUUACUAUACUAUCUCGUCUCGUCUGCGGGGAUGCAAAGGCGCAUGCAGUCGAGUUUGUUGGACGUGCCGCGGAAAUCAGACCUGAUGCGGGGGAGGGGAGAACGCCCGGCCGAACGGGUAGCGAGGGAAAACGAAGCCUUCACUUUCCAUUUGCAUGGCAAAGUCAAAAUCUGGUCAAAUCAGUCUUAAAAGAUCUUCUUGAAUCAUCACCACGAUCAGUACCGAGGCAUCGUCGUCCCAUCCGUAGUGUUAAUUAACCGAGACUUCUUGGGAAACAACGGAAAGGCCCUUAAAAUCCCACUCUAAACCCCCAAAACCAGCAGAUCCACUCCUGUCCGGUGACCCCUGUCAUUCCAAAACUCCCAGCCUUCCUUUCCUUCCCUCAACAGCUCGCGGCCAUGGCGAACGCCGCGCAGCGGCCAUGCAGCAUCUGCAUGGAGCCCAUGGCGCCCUCGGAGGCCCACCGCGGCGGGAGCGCCUGCGCGCACGCCUUCUGCGGGGCGUGCCUGACGGGCCACGUCCGCGCGAAGCUCGAGUCCGGCCGCGCCGGCGCCGUGGGGUGCCUCGACGCGGCGUGCGCCGGAAAGCUCGACCCGGAGCUCUGCCGCGCCGCGCUCCCGCGCGACCUGUUCGAGCGGUGGUGCGCCGCGCUGUGCGAGUCCAUGUUCGCCGGCGCGCGGCGGACCUACUGCCCGUUCCCGGACUGCUCCGAGAUGAUGGUGGCUGACGGCGACGGCGACACCGUGACGCAGUCCGAGUGCCAGGUAUGCAGGCGGCUGUUCUGCGCCCAAUGCCGCGUGCCGUGGCACGCCGGCGUCGACUGCGCCGCGUACAGGCACCGGGACACGGCCAGGGAGGAUGCGAUGCUGAUGGAGAUGGCCGCGGGGAGGAAGUGGAGGAGGUGCUCCAAGUGCCAGUUCUUCGUGGAGAAGACCGACGGCUGCUUGCACAUCACAUGCAGGUAAUUAAAUCUUCUUGCGAAAUUCUAUGAAGAUGAUUUUUGUUGCAUCAAAAUUGAUCGAGAUGGUGGUAAAAUUAAUUGGCAGGUGCGGCUACCAGUUCUGCUACGGGUGUGGCUCGCAGUGGGCUACGUCUUGUUCCGGCGGCUGCACCAAUUAGGCCAUAUAUGUAUAUCCUGAGAUUAUAUCAAUGCUCAGAUGCAUGGAAGGAUGAUUAUCAUGUUGUCGGGAUAUUUGUGGCCAGUUUGCGAAUUGGUUGAGGAUGAUAUUUUGAUUGAGGAUGAUAACACUAAGCUAGUAAGAGGUGGUCUUAAUUAUUUGGCCAUGAUCGAGGAAAUGAAAUGAUCCAUGCUUUAGCCAGUUUAUGGAUUUGUUAGUCGUUGCUAUGUGUCACAGUGAUUGUUUGCUGAAUGCGUUAUAAUGUUGUAGCUUAUCAGAUGAUAUAACUAAUUAUGUCAGCUCUACUAACCUAUACAAUAAUCAAAUGCAACAAACCGUAUGUAUUUCCAAUAUCAGUUCUCAUAUUAUUAAUCCAAGUGUUCAUGUUUCAUACAAUCAAAUUUUCUUGAAUAUUGCAACCAAUUCAUGUACCAACGUGCAAGGUAUAAUCUAGUUUCUUGAAACGGUGCACCUACUUUCUGAUAAAAGAUUAAAUCAAGUGAGAUAUAUGGGAUACACAUAUUUUAAUGAUAGUACAUGGUCCAUCCUCUUACUCUGGUGGUUGGCUGCCGGUGCCUCUUCGCGCGUUGUAUUGUGUUGCUCCACACUUCGCCGCUCGAGGAAGCACAAUAUGUAGCAUAGGCGUCGAUCUGUCAUGGUCCCUACCUUUCUCUCCCUUCUCUCAUUCGUCUGGUCGGUGAUGCACCCCCCCCCCUCUCUCUCUUUGCUCACCACCAAUCAUGUAUCCUACAUAGCUAGAUUGACCCGGUGGAAUCAUGCAUGAGACAACCGUGGAUAAGAGCGAGAACCUCGUUCGCUUGAACCAGAGCAGACGAGGAGGAUUUGGGGAUCAGUUGGUUAUCUUUUUGUUGCUUGAUGAAAUCUGUUUUGUUGAACUUGCAGCAGCUUAUUCAAUAAAGUUGAAAUGGAAUUACGCCUACAAGUAGCAAAAGUCAUUUAUGAUCACACAACCCAAAUAAAUAGAUAAUAAACUUUGCCAUCACAUGCUUGAUGAGCUUCUUCUUUUGCUUGCUUAAGCCUUGCAAACUUGCAGUAAUAUGAUUGGAGACUUGAAGUGAGUGGCAAGAGAUAGCAAAUAAAUUAUAGAAUAAUGUCAAAUCUUGGCAUAGCUCAUGUGAGGUUUGUGAUUAACUGAAACACUUCAAGCAUGAAGCAUGUAUACCUCAAAAAAUUAGUACAAUGGCAAGGUAGAGACAUGUUGACACUUGAUGCAUGAUUCAUCAUAAUAUUGCAAUGAGUUCAGAACUCACGAGAUAAAACUACAUGUGAGUUCACAUCUUGCAUAAGUGAUAUUUGUAGCCUCCUCUUUGGAGUCGUCUUCUUUGCUAAAGCUGCAGUGGGUAUCCUCUCUAGACUAGUUCUAGUUUGUGAUGAAAUACUUCUCCGAGAAAGAAAGCAAGGAGGAUGCACAUAUACAUGCUAUCAAAUUUAUAUAAGUAUUUUGUUUCUCAUUUUUUUACAUUGUCGAACAUGUAACUAUUUGUUGUUUACCUUCUAGCGAAUACGCCCGGAUUGUCGUGUAGUAUUUGUUCUCUACCUAGCUUUUGCGGGUUGCUAGAUUCACCUAUCAUAGCUUUUGUAUUGCUCUUUAUAGGUUUUCUAUUCUUAAAAUUAAAGAAAACAAGCUUUAUUUUUUGGCAUGAGGUGAUAAUUUAAGCUUUGAACGAAAAAAAUGACAAUUGCCUUCUCUUGGUUCUAAGUGAGCACUUGUAACUAGCUUGCCUAUGACCCUUUGUGCCACAUUUCUUGCAAGUCACUAGGCCUCUAAUCAUUUUCUUCACCUUGCAUUUGUGGGAGUAGUGCUACCAUUCUUGGAACCUUUCUUCAUGUGGCCACCUUCAAGGCAAUCCUUUAAUCCUCAUUUUUCUUUAUCUUCUUUUAUUUCUAGUCUUAAGUAUUGUCACCACAACAAAUGGAAGCUCCAACCAUGACCACUAUGAUUUUUUCUAUCGCUGGCUCAAUCUAUCUCCCAUAAGAGCCUUGAAAUUAUCCACAAAGUAGUACUAAUGCACAAAACUGUUCAAGGCAUUUUUGUGAGCUAGUUCAGCAACAUGCAAGUCCUCAAAGUCUCUGCUCAAGUUGUAGAAAACUCUCGAUAUAUUAUUAGUGAUGUAGUCACACUUGAUUCCCGGAAUGAAGACAUACCUUAUCGAUUUGAGAGUGAUAUCGACUUAAUCAAAGUCAUACCUCAUUUGAUUCUCCAAUAGUUGUGUCCAUAAGUUACGUGAACACGUCUUUCAUAUAAGCCAUUGCGGCAGAAAACGUCCUUCUGAAACCCCGGGACCUCUUUGCAAAAUUAUUCAUAAGGUGAAAAAACAUUCCCCUUGUUCAACAUUAUAAAAUAUAUUCUUCAUUGCAUUCUAUAAGCCUUUGCAAGCAUUUUUAAGUUGAUCCAUAAACCAAGUUCGAUUGUGUUCAGUAUCAGAAGCUAUAAACAAUAGGCAAGUGGAUACAUCCAAUUGUGGCCAUCAAUUACCCUCAGCUACAAAAAUCCAACUCUACUUCCAAAGGCUUAGAGAAUGCGGUGGAGAAUGUAUUUCCCAAUGCUGAAUAAAGGGAAUGUUUUCCCAUGUUAUGGGGAAUUUUGUGAAAUGGUUCCGUGUGUUUGGAAGGGUGUAUCUUGUGGCAUGGGCUUAUAUGGGAGAGGUGUUCACAGAACAUAUGGAAGCAAUUAUUUGAUAAUAAAAUGGGGUAUGGCUUUUGUUAAGUUAGUGCAUACUCUCAAGUGGGCGAGGUGUGUCUUCAAUCCAGACAUUAAGUGUGAGCUCAUCUCUAGUAACAUAGGAGGGGUUUCCAACAACUGGUUCAGAGAUAUUACGAACUUAUUGCUGAACUAGCCGACACGAUUAGAGGGAUGAUCAUGGGUCUCUAGAGGACAAGGAGAAGGCUUGGAGGAAGACUGCCAUUUGGACCGAUCCUACUUAUGGGGAAGAGGGAAAAUACUAGAGGUUUGGGGAACUUGAAAGUUGUGAAAUCUGUUAACUAGAGUGUAGAGAUUUGAUAAAAUAUCAAAACUUAUUGAAAGGCAUAUUGUGAAGCUCAAUCAUAAGAUGUGUAGUUUUGCCUUGAAGGGCAGAACACAUACAAGCAAUGUCAACAUGUCUUGCCUUUGUGUCAUCAUAAAAGGGAGUAGAUCUUGAACAGUUUAUGCAUAUGUGUACUAUGUGGGCAGAUUCAAGGAUGUUAUAUGGGAGAGAGAUUGAGCCAAUGAUAGAGAAAUCACAAUGGCCACGAGUGGAUCUAUCAUUUGAUGUGGUGCCACCACUUCAAAAUAGAAAUAAAGAAGGACAAAAAAUGGAGGAUUCAAAGGAUGUGUUAAGGAGGUCACAAGGUGUCACUGAUGAUAGCACUGGUCCCACAAAUGCCAAGGGGAAGAAAAUGAUUAGAUGCCUAGUGAUUUGCAAGAAAUUUGGUUAAAAGUAUCAUAGGCAAGCUAGUUACAAGUGUCCACUUAAUUGAACCCAAAAAGACAAUUGGCAUUCUUUCAUUCAAAGCUUGAAUUAUCACCUCAUGACAAAAGUUUAUUGUUUAAUUCAAGAAAGAGGAAGCCUAAAAGGAACAAUACAUAAGGUAUGCAAGGUGAACCGAACACCCCACAAAGGCCAACUAGAGAACAAAUACUACGGGACAGUUAAGCCAUGCAUUAGAAGGCAAUCAACGAAUAGUUAUAUGUUUAGCAAUGUAAAAAACAAAACAAUUUUCUUAUAUAUAAAUGCCAUAACAUAUAUGUGCAAUUGCCUUGCUUUAUUGCUAACAGAGGGUAUUUAUUCACAAACCAGCAUAACUACUCCAGAGAGGAUACUAGUUGCAGCUCUAGCAAAGAAGAUGGCUACAAAGAGGAAGCUACCAAUUGGAUGACAAAUCUCCAUUAAAUUUACUAUUCAAGCUGUGCAUCCACAUGGGCUGCUCUUUUAAGCGUUAUCUUCAGUUGCCUAUAAAAAUGCAAAAGUACAUCACCUAUUGGUAUAUUUUUUACCAAUAUUACUUGGUAUCAAGGUUACGUGAAAUCCUUGAAAUCGAAUUGGGAUAUAUGAGACGGCCUCCACGCUCACGAUACAUAUUAUAAAUUAGAAAGUAGUAUCAAAGCCUAAGUAUACUAAAACGCCAUGAUCCACAAGAACCUUGGAUCGACAAUAUUUGUGAGACGACACUAAGAAACCAUAUGUGUUUCCGAAUGAUGAUAAGCAUCCUACUGAUUUUGCAACAUGCUAGACAAAAAACAAUUUGAAUUGAAGAAUUCCACCAUACCUCCUUGCUUUCUCCUUCCACAAACAUAAGACUUCCAAUGCAUCGGCAUGUACCUCUUGCAUGGAUAUAACACCUGUUGAUUUGUUAAAUCUGGAAAAGCUAUUGAACUUCAUUCUUGUGCACAAUUAAACGCCAUGUCUAACAAAUGUUGACUUCCACCUGCCAAAACAAUGGUUUAAACUAUAGUAAACAUACAAUCUGUCAUAUGUACCUCAGUACUCGAGUUUCUACAUGAAUGUAUAGCUUAUUGUGUUGAAAAUCUACAAAGAUAGACUAGUGUAAUCGGAAAUCCAACUCGGUGCCGAGGCUCAUCUGCUCCCGCUCAGAAAAAAAUCAAAACAAAUACUAGAGAAAUUCAAAAACAUCCAAAUUUUUUGUGUGUGGUAGAUAAUUUGAUUCGUGAGGUCGGCUUCAAAUUUCAACUCAUUUGGACAUCUGAGUAGCUCUCGGCAAAAAAGACCAAUUGCGUCAGAACAGUGCGUGAAUAGUAAACUUUUUUACAGACCUUGAAUUUGUCUUUUUUUUCCGAGAGCUUCUCAGAUGUCCAAAUGAGUUGAAAUUUGGAGCAGACCUCACGCAUCAAAUUAUCUAGCACACAAAAAAAUGGAUUUUUUUUGAAUUUUUCUAGUAUUUGUUUUGAUUUUUUUCUAAGAGUGGGUGCAGAUGAGCCGGGAGCAGAAACUCCGCGUCCGUGUUGCAUAGAGGCUCUUUAUCCGAACUACAUUUGCUAGCACCAAAAGAUAAGAAAUGGUCGUGAACUAAAUAAAUAUGAAAGUGGUUAAUUGAAAAUACCACACUACUAUGGCACCAAUUCUUUGAAACCGUGAUAUGCAUAUAAAAUGGCAUUUGGUGCAUCUUAGCUAAUAAUAGUACAUGUGUUGAGUCUGUAAAAAUAAUUAAGAAGUUUUGAAGAUGUAAUGUAAGGUUUGGUAACCGCAGCCCAUAUUUACAUUUAGAGGGAUAUGCAAAACUUGAAAAAGGAAAAUGGAAGACACUAUUAUAGAAGUACAGAGUGUCCAUUGCUAACCUCCAACUUUUGUCAUAUCCGAAUCAGAUCACCACUACAAUGACUUCAAAGCAUUUUCAAUUUGAAACCGUACACCAAAAUAUUUCAGCUAGUACAAUGGAGAAUUUCCAAUUCCUAGUAGAUAGAUGUUCAGGUUGUAGUAUUCUCCACACAAUCAUUUGAGAAUCUUCUUAUGCUCAUGCAGAGAUUGAUAACGCAUAAUGUGCAUAUUCUCAUCUCACACACAUAGAUCACCUUCUGUGCAGAGCUAAGUCUAUUAAUAUAUCAUCUCGUUCCAUCGCUGCCGCAUCGUAUAUGAGUUUGACAACAUGUCAGGUACUACAGAAGGAAUCUAAAAUGGACAUCAGCGAGAAGAAGUGUGGCAUAUGCAUUAUAUUGGUUUAUGAAAAUAGGUGAUAGAAGAGCCUAUUGUCAUUUUAGCACAGAAAAUACCUCUAGAAACCGAGUCAAUGUUUCUAUAUACUCUGUUUAGUGCAAAUUAACACGGGCUUACUUUUUGUACCAAAGUGGAAAAAAACGCAUGGCUCGGUUACUCGGAGUUUGCAUUCGUAGAAAAGGCAGAACAAAUAAUUUACCGUGGAGCAUAUACAUAAGUGACAACUCUUGCAGACCUUGCCUAUAAUAAAUUAGCAAAAAUACAAAACGAAAUUACUAAGGUGAACGUGGUUCCACAUGCACCUAUGUAAAUAGUAAAUAAAAAAUACUCGAAUUUUUAUUAAAAAAAUCUGAAAUUUUGAGGUAUCAAACUUGGUCGACCCGACCAUACUCAUGUGUGAAGUUCGGUGCAGGAGGGACACCCGGUGUAUUUCUUAGUGAAGAAAAUAUAAUCCAACCAUACUGUUCCUGUCAAACAGUGCUUUUGAAUAAAACUUCCAUCUGUCAUUUUGCCCAAAAUACCACGGAUGUCAUUUCUUCGUGAAACUUCAUACGCGAGUACACAAUCGACCAUGUAUAUUACAGAAAAAGUCUGAUUGUUUUUCUCUUUUUCUAGUUUUUUUGGAUUUACUAUUUAUAAGGGAUGCACGUGGAACCACGUUCCACAAAUCCGCGUCUAAUUACACAAACCUUAAAAAACAGUAGCUUCAAGGAAAUAAUUUGCUAAAAAACAAGUGUAAUUUUCAAGGAAAAUAGGAUUUUUAGGACACCAUUACAGAAGACCAAAACAAAAUUCAUGGUAAAGCACAUACUUUUAGGUCCAUUAGAGAAACAAAAUACCCGUACGUGUUCCUUUUCUUCCAAUAACGUUCGUGUUUUGCAGUGCAUCUAUCUAAAACCACUUUCUUGGCAAGCAAACAAUUCACCAAACACUUUAGAGUGCAUUGCCUAAUGCCUGUAGUCGAUAUCAGAAGUAAAUAAGGAGGUAGAGGAGGAACGAUUGGACCUGCAGCAUGCAGGCCAUGCGCAUCGUGUAUGUCUCGACAAGUUGCUGAACAUUACCUUUCUUGUGAUUCAUACCCAUCCUCCUCUGUUGCCUGCCUCAUCCACCAUGGCGCUGACUACGGCGGCUCCUUCCUUCUCCUCCCCGUCCUCCAAUCUAUCAUGGAAACACCGGAGCUGAUGGACACCGAGAGAAAGAAAGAAGAGGCGGGGGGCUGCGGCGACGCGGGUGACGGAGAGAGGCGCCGUGGAUGAGCUCGUGAGGUGACGGAUAAAUGCAGAGGGGACAGCUGACCGGGAUGAGGUCGUGGGAUGAUCUGGUGUCCGUGACCCGAGGGCCGAGAGUUGCGUCCAACCCUUGGCUUGGCACCAGAUCUAAUAUACAAAUCAACGGCUGGAGAAUAAUUCAAACGGUGAUCGGACGGGCCAGCUUUCGUGAUGGCAUGAGUUUAUCCCGAUUAAACGUGGGUCGAACCUCUUUAAGUUUGACGAGCUUUAUAGAAAAAAAUGUUGAUAUCUUACAACUGAAUUUUGGUCAGGCUCGCUAAGGACAUUUUCAAUGCCAACCCUCAAACCGCGCCCAAACAUCCGGUCCGCAUGGUUCAAUGUGAUGCGUCAUCCAACGCGGUUCUGCAUCGGUCCGCAAGGUGAUAUAGACAUACUUUUUCCCGUAAACCGAGGACAAAUGUGAGGGCUUUGCAGGUGUCUAGACAACAGCCGCGCCCGCUUCUGACCAUCCUGACCCACCCCAAACAUUCUCCCUCGCCCGCGCGAGUCCCAUCCGGCGCUAGCUACCUGCAUUUAUGUCAUCGUAGAACGGCCGCUCCACAUUGAAGUCGGCUCAGAGCAGACACGGACUCUCACUGCCUCCACCAUUGAAGCGACGCGCAAGCUGAGGGCGCCGCCUGCUGCACGUCCGGCUAAAUACGCCUCUUCGCUGCAUUCAAACGUCUCCACUAAACCCGCGCGUGUGCUCGGAAAACUACUCCGGCCAUAUGUCCGUUCACAAGCGGGUCGACGUUAACCAUAACUCCGGAGUAGCUCCUCCCGUGAACCCGCUAUUUAAAGGAGGCCAGACGUCGGGCAAGUAUUGCACCACUUCGUUGCUCCCAUCUUCAUCUUUCACCAAUAUAUCCAUCCUUCUGAUGGCAUCCGACGAGCAGGAAGACCAGUUCUCCAGCAUAAAAGCCAGCUGGGAGACCCACCAAGCUCGUUGGAUACGAGCAAGGCAACUCACUGCUCUACCUCCCUCCCUAGCCUGACGGAGCAAGCUGUCGCUCCAAGCCGGUGCGUGGUUAAGAACCUCGUCGCUCCAAGCCAACUCGCGGAAGAGUGGCGAGUAGCUCCAGGCAACACGCGGGGGAGCACGGCGAAACGGGCAUCAUGGAUACCAUGGAUGAGGCCAGACAUAUGGCCAUCCACCGUCAACGUUGUUGGAACGCAUUGGUCAAUGGAGAAAAACGUGGAGAUCGAUGAGUCGGUGGCCAGCGCGUCCACGCCGCCGCCACUGCCAUCAUUGAGGAGAAGUAGAACGCGGUAGGCCGCCGUCGCUUGGGUCCCAGGAAGGCCACUGCCGGCGCGUCGUCGGCGUGAACAUGACUUGCCCAGUUCAGCGCAGACCAUCAUCGAUCCUCGCCUCGGCUUCACAGAAGCGGAGUAGGCACCCAUCUCCUCCGGACAUAGGGAAGAUACAGGGGAAGAAUAUACCUCCGGGGCUCCCAACAGUCCGAUGAGCGGGUUGCCGGAUAUGGAAAAGACAAAGGGAUCCGUUGUGGCUGGCCGUAGACUAGUGUAGUGUAUCCAUGUCGCUGGAGUGGAGCUCCGCGUACACAUAAUUUUGCCUUUUUAGUUAAAAUGUCCAAAAUGUGAAUGUUUUCAUCCAGUUUGUAUGAAAUCAAUCGUGUUUGCACGAAUUUUAUCUGGUUGGAUCAAAAAGUUAUUGAAAUGUAUGCGAGCAGCGUUCGAUGGCCUCCUCCCGCAUCCGUGUGCGCGCUCUAGUACCCCUGUCCGUGGACGAAUGCAGGAUGCAAUUUGCGGGUCGCUGUUGGAGAUGCCCUAAGCUUUUGAUGCUUUAUCCCUAAAAAACUUUUAACGCUUUAAAAGUUAUCAAAAAAUAUGAAAUAAAUAUAGGAGCAUCACUCUUAAAUUAUGUCUAUCAUAUCUUAUCACCAAACUUGUUGAUGCUAGCUAAGCUUUUAACAGAUCCUCUACUUCCUCCUGUAACCACCAAAAAAAAAAA